RNAcentral lists this long non-coding RNA (77070 nucleotides) under Malus domestica (apple). Its description in RNAcentral is "long non-coding RNA (MDOM_LNC009769)". Lineage: Eukaryota; Viridiplantae; Streptophyta; Magnoliopsida; Rosales; Rosaceae. The record is from RNAcentral.
UUUUAUAAAUUUUUUUAAAUAUAGUAGAAAAAUCACUUAAAUAGACCUAAAUACCCUCAAAAUUAAAACCAACUAAAAAACCCUAUUGGAUCAGAAUUUUGGAAAAAUGAGAGGCCACUACAUUUUGUGGGUGAUGUCAUAGCGUUCCCAGUCAAUACCAAUGAAAUCAAGGAUCUUAGUAUAACUUUUCAUUUUCACCUGUGGCUUCAAUACGUAUGAAUGAACAUGAGAUAGGCACUUGUGUUACUUUGGCUGUAAUGUUUAAUGGGAUUUCGCGGCUAUUACUAUGUUUGUCUAGUUUCACGUUGUUGUUGGACUCAUAUGGUUAGAAAUUACACCUACACGAAUUUUGUGAUUGCUGAUAUUUAAUCACGCAUAUUAUGAGUGUUACUUGACCUUCGCCAUAUGUUUUCUCUGCUAUUUCACUCUCUGCCUUUCGAUUUGUUUCUCUCUCACACCAUUAAUUAGGCUAAAUUGGAUUAAUGCCUUUCGAUUUGUUUCUCUCUCACACCAUUAAUUAGGCUAAAUUGGAUUAAUGGUCUCCCAUAAAAAAAUGAUUAAAUGUGACAUGGAUGACUAUUUUUUAAUCUUACAUCUAGUAUUAUUGAAAAAACAAUCUUAUUUGGGGAUUAAAGUAAAGAUUUUUUUAUAAAUAAAUUAGGAUUUAGGAAUUUAUAAAUAUUUAACAAAAUUAAAGGUGACUCUUAAUUAGGUAACAUAAAGUUCCAAAUCGGCCAAAUUCAAAAGUGCGUGAACUAAAUUGGUGGCGAAUGACUGGAAAUAUUUAAGCCGAAAUACAACACACCUACCUGUAUAGUAAAUUCUCGUGCUCAUCAUCGUUCGGAAUGUCGAUAUUCCACCAUCUUGGUCUCAGACGCAAUUCCAUCCGCUCAAUUGCUCAUUCCAUACGCAUUGCCUCCUUCCCUACCCACCUCUUCCACCUCUUCUCCUCCACUGUGGCCUCUCCUGCCCAAGACGUCGAGGACGCCUAGAAGGUGCUUGUUAUAAAUCCCCAAAGGACUAUCCGGAUUCCUACUACAGCUAUAACUUCUGGUAACUCUAGCUCUGUGUAUGGUGGUUCUUGGUUUCACUCAGCUGGUUCGUCCAAGACUAACUACUAUCGUGAGGACCUUUUGCAAAUAACACCCACCUAUAGUCUCUUUAAAGAACGAUAUGCGGCCUUGGAGCUUACCAUUAAAGAGACUAUAGGUGGGUGUUUUUUGCAAAAGAUCCUUGCGGUAGUAGUCGGUCUUGGACGAACCAGCUGAGUGAAACCAAGAACCACCAUACACAGAGCUAGAGUUAACAGAAGUUAUAGUUGUAAUCGGAAUCCGGAUAGUCCUUUGGGGAUUUAUAACAAGCACCUUCUGGGCGUCCUUGACGUCUUGGGCAGGAGAGGCCACACUGGAGAAGAGGUGGAAGAGGUGGGUAGGGAAGGAGGCAAUGCGUAUGGAAUGAGCAAUUGAGCGGAUAGAAUUGCGUUUGAGACAAAGAUGGUGGAAUAUCGACAUUCCGAACGAUGAUGAGCACGAGAAUUUACUAUAUAGGUAGUUGUGUUGUAUUUCGGCUUAAAUAUUUCCAGUCAUUCACCAACAAUUUAGUUCACACACUUUUGAAUUUGGCCGAUUUGGAACUUUAGAUGAAAAUUUAGAUGAAAAUUUUGAUUUAGAUGAAAAUUUAGGAGGGUAAAGAUUGGAAACGCACAGAAAGGGAGGCCUUGUAUUUCUGCCAAUAUGAAAUCCAAUCCUCCUUGUCCCAUCGGCCCUUGACAAACUUCUCCAGAACACAUGGUUAAUAUAUAGUCAUUACAAAGAGAUCUAUGAACCAUCAAUAUGAGAAUUUUGUGCAAAGAUCUAUAUAUCAAUUGUGAAAGCAUAAUUUUUGUGGUUGUGGUAUGCUAAUGUUCAUUUGCAGCACAACAGAUGCAAGCUCAUAAUAAAGCAGAGAUGGUCAAUGUAAAUACAACCUGAUCUAACCACAAUGUGCAAAAGGAACUCAAGUCCGACACUUAUAAAUUACUCCUUUCUAUAAAACUUGUUGAAAUUAAGUUUAGUUCUCUACAAAAAUCAAAUUAGCAUCAUAAAUUGGCAAAAGGGAAACUGCUUCAAAUUUGUGAUUUGAUAUAAUUGGACUUUAGAAAAAACUUGAUGAUUUUGAGGGAUCCAAUUUAACGGUUAGAAAAAAUUUCACUAAUUUUCAUUAUUUAACAAAAUUACAAAGGAGAAGUGAGAAUAAAAUUAAAAAAUUAAAUGUAUAUGCACCACACAAAGAUUGGAUAAACAUUUGACGAAGAAAUAUAGUACACCUGCAAUUAGGGUUUAAUCAAAUUUUGAGUAAUUAAUCCUUGAAAUUAAGCUGAUGAUCUAAAUUAAACAGAAGUUGAAAGGAAAUUAGUGAAAGGGAACAAACCUUGAUCCAUUUGCCUUGCAACAGAGACAUGGCUGGAGAACUCUCAGUCACUGUCGAAACUCAGUUGCCGAAGUAUCAGUCUUCGACUUGCUCUGCAAAAAUCCCCAAAUUGUUUAAGAUUUCUUCUAAAACAAAAAAAAAAAAUCCAAAAUUCGACCAACAAAAGUAACAGUGCAGCGAACUCAGCGAAGUCCUCGUCGUCGUCAAAGUCCGAGUCGGCGCCGUGGCUUCCCCGGAGCUGGUUACCGGCAAAAGCGUCGGUGUCUUCGAAGUCGGCGAUGUCGAAGUAGGUCGUCCACGACGUUCUCCAGCUCGUCGUUCUGAAACUGCGCCAUUUUCGACUGCGGAAAAACUCGGGGAUUAACUGAAAUUCACAAUGGCCAUUAAAUCGAAACCGAAAGUGGGAGAAGUGGCGAAGGAAUUUACCUGGAAUUUGUGAAUUCAGCUGGCGGGUUGAGAAAAACAGAGUGUGUAGAAUUUUCCCAAGAAACGAACAGAAAAAGCGAGCGUCUUUUUUAGGUGGGUGAAAGAAAACGCUCACCCACGGUGCUCAACUUAUAGACUUGGGCGAGAGCAAAAGAGAUUACUGGAAAGUGACAGCCAGUGGAUUAUUUUUCGGCAUGAAUGGAGCCAUGGUUUCUCAGAGAGAUCAGCGAGCUCACAUUUUUUAAUUCUCAGAGAGAGAGAGAAAACUGUCGAGCUUUUGCAGAAGGCGAAGUGUGUUUUGUCGAGGUAACGAACGGAGAUGAGAGAGAGAGGUGGAGCGGCUAGGGUUUGGGUAUGGAAGAGUUGAAAAAUGGAGAGAGCAGAUUCAAUGGCAGUAUUAAAAAAAAUAAGAAUAAAUUUACAAAACUAAUUAUCUUAUGCAUUUUUUUUUUAGGAAAAUUAAUAAAAAAGUUUUGAAAACUUUGAGUUUUAAUGAUAAGGACAAAAUAAAGGGUAAAAUAAAUAGUACUAUGUUUGACUUUUUAGUGUAAAAAUAUAAUUUUUCGUUAAAGUAAACAGUACCGCGAACUUUUCGUUAAAACUUCCUUUUUUUUUUUUUGCUGCUUUUGAUUAUGUAUAAGAGAUGAUUAUGUAUCUCAUCGUUGCUCUGGCUUUAUAUAUAAGAGAUGAUUAUGUAUCUCAUCGAAUGUGGAUGUACCCGUUAAUCUGAGAAUUUAUCGAUUCAACUCUCGAAAUUACGGUAUCGAUAUUAACAUAUAUAAAAUAGAAUUAUAUCACAUUUUCCUUUUGGACUAUUGAGCCAAAAGUUCAUUUAUUUAAAUUUUUAUAGCAAUUGGUGAUUGGCGCGUGGUUCUGAGAGCCCAUAAGUUUGGGCUGCCUUGCACCAUAAUUGGACCAUCCUAAUUGGUGAUUGGCGCGUGGUCAUAUAGCUCGAACCAAUUUGUAUGGAUUUUAUUUCUUAUUUAUUUUAUAUUUUACUUUAUUUUUCUGUUCAACAAGGGAUCAACAAUCUUUCUUCGUUGCAUGCAGACUCAAUGGCAAGAGAAUACUUAUUAUUGACCCAAGCUUCAAUAUUUGACACCAACAAUUUUUCAUCAAAAAUAAAAAACAGAAAGAUCUACAAUUAUUCUGAAACAUGCAUUCCAUGCAAACAGACAACACCUGAACCAAUUCUUCUACAGUACUGCACUCUCAUCACCAUCAACUGUCUCUGCUUCGUUUCCUUCUUUGAGGCUAAUUUCCCUCAAAUUCCUUCCGUUUCACCCUGAAUUUCCACCCAAAAAACCAAAGAAUUAACACGAGCUACAAUAACAACACUAACGCAUUCAACAACCAUGAGAAUAAGUGAGUCUUACAUACCCAUCUUCUGCGAACAAGCCAUUGGAUGGGAUUAAGCCUGGACAUUGCUAAAAAAACAAAAUCUUCAAGCCAAAGGUCCAAAAUCCGUGUGAAUACCGUCAGAAUCACCUUUCCCCUGUCCAAAAUCCACCGCCUUAGCGGUCCCGGACUUUCGUCCGCGGAUGCGGCGGCGGCGGCGGCGGAGGCGACGGAGGCGGCAGCGGUGGAGGUCGCUCCUUGCUGGUCAAGCUGCUGCUGCAGUGGGUUUAGGGCAUCGACGAUAGCCUCCAAGAUCUUCCAGUCUUUUUCAGACUGGACAUUUCCGACAAGUUCAACGUGCAAACUUCCUCCCCCGUUGUUAACCAGUUCUUGGGUCAUCAACCUCUUCAAGAGAGAGAAGAGGCUCCUUUGUCCUGACGCCAUCCUCGAUACAGCUUCGUCGAUUAUUUCUUCCAUUUCCGCACAGUUCAAUCCUCCCGCCUCCUUCUCUUUCAUCAAACUGCGGUGGCAAUCUUGGAUAUAUAGAUCGGAGGAGAGUUAGGACCCGCCGAGCUCGGACUCCGGGUUCCGCUGCAGUUUCGAUUUCAUACUGGGCAGCAGGUUCGACAUAGGUUUGCUCUUCGGACAUGAUUAUUGAUUCUUGUAUUGGAUGGGGGUACAUACAUGCACUGAUGAAUCCAACUUCUAACUUUUGAAUCCAAUAUAUAAGCAACUUCUUACUAUUGAAUCCAACUGAAUAUGAAGGGUGAGAGAUGAGUGUUACAGAAUGAAGGGUGAGAGAUGGGGUGCUCUAGAAGUGGUCCACGCCACGUCCCCAUCAAUCUAUGUGUACAUACGUGCUUUAAUAAUAUAAAAUGUGCUGCUUUGGACUUUUGUUCACGCGCAGGACAGGCAAUUGAACUAGAUUUCCAAUUUCGACUGUUCAAAUCACUCACGAUAUUAUCUACACUAAAGAUGAAGGAUGGUCUUAGUCUCACAAUAGGCUAGUAAUAAUGUAGUUCAAACUCGCAUUUGACGAGAAUCAAACCUACGACAUCUCACUUACAAGUUAAGUGGAAUUAGUUAAAUAUUUCAUUUUGUUAUAUCCAUAGCAGUCAUAGUAUGUACUAAUAUAGUUACGAUGUAGAUUCUUAUUUAAGCUUCUAUCGUGUGCAUAUCUAACUUAGUCAGUUACGAUUUGCUUGAAACUCUAAAAAUCGAUACCGAUUGCGAUUAUACAAAUGAAGUUUAUUUAUUCAAUUUUAACUCAACCUUAUAAAACUAUCCAUUUUAAUUAAGUUUGGACUUGGAGAUUCCUAACUAGUAAUACAAUUUAGUGGUAUUUUUCUCUUAAUACUCUUUGAACAAAUAAAAAGUAAAUUUUAGCCAUGUUAUUGCGAAUAUAGGAGUAAUUCAUAGCCAAAGAGAAACAGUCCCGUUAAGAAACUUCAAAAUUUAUUAAAACACCAAGUGAGCCAACAAAAAUGAUUAAUGAAAAUUACUCCAUGUUUUGUUUUGUUGUCUUAGUGGUUAAGUUGAUGUUAUUCCGCGAUGCAAGAUAUACGUGGCAAGUUUCACACGGGGCCUACCCACUUGACGAAAGCGAGACUAUUUGAUCGAGACCCACAAAUCAAGCCCGCCACGUAAGCAGGUUACUAAUGCGGACAUUGUGGACAGGGCACGGAACUCAGACCGAUCAAUUAAACCCAUUAUUAUAGAGUUUACUGGGGUAAACUAGACGAUAAAUUUUUCCUUAUGAUCGGAAUACGGAUAAUAUAUCAUGUGUUUUUAUAAGAGUGGUGAAAAAUCUCUCAAACUGGACGUGUCAAGAUAAGAGGUGAGCAUAGGGAUGACAACGGAUCAGUUUUGGGGACGGAAAUGUUAUAUUCAUCAUUAUAAUCAAGAAAAUUAAUCAUAUUCAUAACCGCAAAUUAACCAUCGGGUGUUAUCCAUAACCAUACAUACCGGAUAAUGAAUUUCUCAUCGGUUAACGGUUAUAUCCAUUCUUGUCAAUAAAAUUAUAUAUAUAUUCGUCCAAUUGAUGCAUUAUAAUUUAGUAAAUAUUAAUCUUGUCAUUAAAUAUUUGAUGUAUAAAAUGAUUUAAUUAAUGGAUCUUAUGGAUCAUCCCUUCGGGGACAUCAGAUAAAAAUGGAUCUUGUGGAGCAUAAAAAUUAAAGCUAAACAUUGAUAAUGUUGGUUGAUCUUUGAUAUCUCCCUUAAGUACAAUUGAAUAAAUUCAACUUUUGAUUAAUACCCGGUAUAAGAUUAAGAAUUGAAUUUAGUCAUUUGAUCCGCUUUAUAUGUCAUCAUGCAUAAUCCACAUCAUUUCACCCAUUUUACAUUGAUUUUAUUUUCUUUCUUCCAAUUAUAUCCUCGUGAACAAUAAUUGUUUUUAUGAGAGAUGUUGCAAAAUUUAUUACUCAUUUGACAUUCAAAUAUUUGCAUUUAAUUUAGGGAACUUUAACGAAAAACUCUCGCUACUGUUCACUUUAACAAAAAAUCACAUUUUUACACAAAAAAGUCAAUCCUGAUACUAUUCACUUUACCUUUAUUUUGUCCUUAUCGUUAAAAUUCAAAGUUUUCAAGCUCUUUUCAUUAGUUUUCCUUUUAAUUUAUUACUCAUUUGAGAAAUUUUGUAGAAUUUAUUACUCAUUUGAUAUAAGGUGAUGAUCCUCUCUCUCUCUCUCUCUCUCUCUCUCUCUCUCUCUCUCUCUCUCUCUCUCUCUCUCUCCCCUACAAGACAACCAGCCAUACUGCUCCACGGUGAGUCGGUGACCACCACUCCUCUCCAUAGCGUCGGCCAAAGGCUCACAUUAUCUCCAUAAACUCCAUUUCAGUCUCCGAAAUAAAAACUUAGACUUCAUGAUUUUUGAUUUUGCAUCUUCUAGUUUGAAUUUGCCUAAAUUUUUUUUAUUAAUCUGAAUGGAACUUUCCAUUUGAUGAUUGUUAUAUCUAAAUAUAUGAAGCCUUUUUUCCAUUUUUCACAACAAUAGUGAUCUCAACAAGAAGCCUUUUUUUUUAUAGCUACAUUAUACUUUUGAGAACUAUAUAGGUACAUACAUUUGGUACAUAUACUUCGUACAAUAUUUCGAUACAUAUAUUUCGGUACACAUGCUUGGUACAUAUAUUUCGGUACACAUGUUUAGGUACUAUAUUUCGGUACAUUUAUAUACUUUGGUGCACAUACGUCGGUACACGUACUUUGGUACACAUGUUUAGGUACAAUCAUUUUAUAAUUGUUUGGUAUAUACUCUUUACAUUGCAACUUGCAUAAUGAUAGACUUUACGUAUUUUGCAUUUUUUUCUUAACGUUUCAUUAAUAUUUUUUUGUUAUGGUUUUUCAUUCAAGUGCAUUUAUUAAUAGAGGAAGUCAAUGAUAAUGGCAAAAAAAUCUGGAUCAAAUGUCAUAGCCCGUCCCGAAAAAUUAAUUUUCGAUAAUGUGAAAUGACAAUUUUGUCCGUGGACAGGAAAAUUUUAGUGUGUAUGUGUGACAUAUUGAGACUUAGAGAUUUUUGUGUGGUUUUGGGUUGGUGACCACGUGGAUCACACACACACCACACUCACUCCCUCUCUCUUCCUUCCCGUGCCCUUUCUCCCUCGCAGACUCUCUCCAUCUCCCCUCUCUUUUGUACGGACAUCACCCAAAACCCCUGGAAACGUAGCAGAUCGAAGAUUCUAAAGGCACCAUUGCAUUCCUUGGGUCAUUUCGAGUUGGUUGGUACCCAUUUCAGGUAAGGAUCCCUUCGAAAUCUCAAGAACCCGUAACCCAAUUUUCAUGCACUAUUCAUGUGGACGUAAAACCUUGUGUUUCAGAGGAUUUCAAGCUCACAGAGAGCUUUAGGAGGUCCUAAGGAAGCUUGGGAUAGUUCGUUGGAAGAGUUUGGACGUCGGAGGGCCGAGAUCGAAGCUUUUUAAAGUUGACUGGAUUAUCGAGCUUCCUCAGGUAAAUUCUGGUGGAUUUCAAGGCUUAAAAGUAGUAUAACGUGAUUCUACAUGUUAUUAGCUUCAUUUUGGUACCAAUUGCAUGAAAAAUGGUGAAGAAACGAAGGAGAAUAGUGGUUUUGAAGUUUUACCCAGAAACCGGCAAAGUUGCCAGCUACCGGCGACUCACCGGAGAAGAAAGGGGAAUAUUCCGUCAGUUUUGACGGAAUAUGCUAACGCCGUCAGUUAGGUUUGACGGUUACCGUUAGGUUUUAACGGAAUAUUCCCUAUAAUAUUCCUGACGGCGUUGACUGACGCCGUCAGUGUGCAUGUCACUUGGCCGCGCGUGGAGGCGCGUAGGGCCGUGCCCUCGUCGGCGCGUGAUGGCGCGUGGGUGGUCGAAAAAAUAUUCUUAAAAUAUGGGGAUGUUCGUGGAGUUGUGUAGAUCACAUUGGUAUAUUCAUAUACCCAAUUUGAGCAUUGUAUGAGAAGUUAUUAGUUAGUUUUGCCUAUGUGCUUUAAAAUAACGUUUUUAUAGUUAUUUCGCAUAUAGGUGAGGCUUAUCCCGAUGACGAGCGUAUCCACGAGCGACUCGGGGGUUACGACCCGUCGACAUACCAGUGAGUGGGCUUUUGGUUUUCAGUAUAUAUUUAUAUACUUGAUAUUUUCCCAGAAAAUAUGUUUAAAUGAUAAUAUGCCAUAAAUGCCAUACAUAUACAAUUAUGUUUUGUGUAAGAAUUGAUGUGUGAUACCUUAUAUAUAUAUAUAAAUGUGGUGAUGUGGAGGCACAUGUAAGUACAGGUAAGUUACGUUUGGUUAUGUGAAUCAUCGAUGAUGUGAUAUGUGAUUGAAUGAUGUUGAGCUCAUAAAACUGCACCUAGGGUGAUUGAUUUAGCCAGAGAGAUGAUACAUGCCUGUUUAUUAUGUCACCCCCGCACUAUAUGCUCACAUUGGAUCCAAUUUAAGUGCACAGUCUUGUCGUACAUACCUUAUUUAUGGUUCCGACUCGUAGGUGACUAGCGAUUUAUCGCCCGGCUAUUAUGAGAGAGUAGAAUUGAGCAUAAUUAUAUCACACCCAUUAUUGUCGUACAGACCUUUUCAUUUGGUUCCGACUCUUGUGCAGUAUAUUGUCGUAUAAGUCAUUGUAGUGACUCCGACUAGGUUGACCUUUGAGCUAUGAAUUCAGCCGUACAGACUACCACAGGGGUUCCGACUAACACAUCACAUUUCUAUGAAAUUAUUCUUACCUGAAUUGCUUACUCUAUUAUAUAUUGGCAUGACAUGCAUAUGAAUAUGAUUAUGUGAAGUAUGAUUUGAAUUGAUAUGAUUUCAUAUAUAUAUUUAUGUAUAUGUUUAUAUUCUGAUUAUGGAAAAAAUUAUACAUAUUUUAUAGCGAGGGGUUAGAUAUGUUAAUAAAUGAAAGGGUUUUGUAAAACAUUUGUUUUUGCCCACUCACGUUUUCUAUUUUUGCCCACUCUCACGUGACGGCCAGCAUGCCUUGAUCACGGUCGGGGUGUGUCAUCAAAUAAAUAAAAAAUUUAGUUUGACAAAAAAAUCAAAUAUUUAAUAUGGGCAUUUUGGGAAUGAAAAAAAAACGAAUUUAAGUAUCUAAUAACAAUUCAUUAUGAAUUUAAAUAUAAAUGCUUGUGUGGAUAUCUAGUUAAAGGGCGAUAAUUAAUAUUUAAUCUUACAUUAGGUUUUAAUUGAAUUUAAAUCUUAUCAAAUGAUUAAUAUUCAAUUGCCACUUAUAUAUAAUUAUAUUAUAUAUUAUUCGGUUCGGAUUUGGGUACAUAUAUGAAUUGGAGAUCCUAUAACCAUAUCCAAAACCAUAACCGAAUAAUAUUCACGAUUUUUCCCCAUACCCAAAAUAUACCAGAAUUUUCAUACCCAAAUCCAAUUCAUUCGGACGGUUAUUCACGAUUAUCGAGUUUAAUGGUAAAACUUAUAAUUGUCAUUCCUAGGUGAGCAACAUGACAAGCUAAAGGCAGUGUGUACUUUAUAUUUCUUUUAUAUUCGUUUAUAGUUAACAGUUUAGUUAGUUAUGAAAAUGAUUCUUUAAUAGUGGUAUUUGUUGCAUUUAUUAUGUCACACCCCAAAAAUGGUAUCAUAGUUGAAACGAUAAUUUAUCCAAAUUUAUUUGGAAGCCAAAUACAUUGGUAGGCCAACAAAGCCGUGGUUAAUUAUUGUUCAAUUAACCACGAUGAAUUUCCUUAUUUGACACAUUCAUAACAUUUAUUUCGGCUUGAUCUAACUUAAAGUUAGAUUACCUACGUACUCUGUUAAGGGACCAAACCAAUCGUAGUUAUCAUCUUAUUUAAAUAGUGUAUCACUACAUAGGAAACAAUUUGAUCUCAAAAGAAUUUUCCCUGAAAUAAUUGAAUAGUAAAAAAGAAUUUAUAAUUGGUAGCAUGCCAAAGUUUCCCUGAAAUAAAUAAAUAGUGAAAAAGACAAAAAUAAUCAUCUUCUUUCUUCACCGACCACCUCUAUUAAGAACACAAGAAAUAAUGAAAUCAAUGGAACUAGUAGUAAGGUGGCUGGAGACAGAGGGAGAAAGGAUGAAUUUGGGGACAACGAUUAAAAAGAAAAGGGAGGGGGGGGGGAGAGGGGCCAUAAUAAUGUCACAUAAGUAAACAUAACAGUUAUAUAACGGAAUACAUAGAAACAACCCAAAGUGGAGUGAAUAUUGAGUUUGAAGAGUAAGUGCCGAUUUUUGAGUUUCAUGGGACAAAAUGAGAUUGAAAUCGAGUUUCAAUGAGCAAAGUGGCGUGUUUUGAGUUCCGAGGAACAAAGUGGAUCGAAAUGUAGUUCUACUGAGCAAAGUGGUGACUUUUGAAUUUCAGGAGACGAAGUGGGAUCGAAAUCGAGUUUCAAUAAGAGUAGCAAAUUUAAGUCUUAAUUUUUUUUGAAGUUUCUUAAGGGGACUGUUUCUCGUGGACUAUGGAUUACUGUUAUAUUCGCAAUAACGUGGCAAAAAGUUACUUUUAUCUGUUUAAAGAGUAUGAGGAGAAAAUUCUAUUACUAGUUUGUUGUCCCUAAGCCCAAACUUAAUUAAAAUGGAUAAUUUUAUAAAGUCGAGUUAAAAUUGAAUAAAUAAACUUGAGUUAUAUAAUCGCAAUCGGUAUCUAUUUUAGAGUUUCAAGCAAAUUGUAACCCACUAAUUUAGACAUGCACGCGAUGGUAGGUCAAAUAAGAAUCUACGUCGUGCUAUAUUAGGACAUAUUAUGACUGCUAUGGAUAUAACAAAAAAAGUACUUAACUGAUUCUUUGGAUUGGGAAUGAUAGAAUAGUAGAAUUAGGAGGAGAGGAUAAGAUCCAUAAUCUCCGAUUAUUAUUCCAAUUAAUUUCGGGAGCAGUUUUGCUCGCCAUCAUAAUUAUAGUGUAUUCCCACUAUACACAUUAUCAUAUGUCACGUGUCUUUUCACUUAACACAAUUAACUUUUCUAUAAAUGUUCAUUCUUCAUGUAAAAACACACGUGACAUAUGAUGAUGUGUAUAAAAUAGUGGGUUUAAGUUACAACACACAUUCCCUCGCCGAUGAACAAUCAUUGCGUCUCUUUACAAGUAAUACAUUCUUAAAGGGAUAAGAUUUUCUAGUAUCUUAAUUUCUUAAAUACAACUUACUAGUGAUUUACACCAUCACACAUCCAUAAUAUGCGCUAUAAAAUAUCAACGGUCACAAAAUUCGUGCAGGGGCAAUUUCUAACCGUGAGUCCGACAACAAUGUUAAAACUAGACAGAGUAAUAGUCGCACAAUCCCAUUAACCAUUACAACCAAAGUAACACAAGUGCCUACACGCAUACCAUACUAAUACGGAAACUGGAUUAUCUUAUUCAUAUGAGAUGGACUCUCUAUCCACAUCUUUAGUCCUCACUUCAUUGCCACUACUCUUGCUUACUGCUGCAGUUCGUUCAGGAAAUCCUAGUUGUCAACCAGGACCUACAAGCACAACGUCAAGAACCAAAGUAAUGAGCUCAACCGUUAAUGAUGCAUCGCCUCUAAAUUGUUAGAUGUAUUAGAUGCAAUAUAAGCACACACGCAGAGCAUGCAGACAUUUUCACAUGUGGAAAAAGUCAAACAGACGCUGGACCUUCAAUCUUUCAGCUGUGGAUUAGUUACAUGCCACUCCUUGUCCUUGCCCGCGAUAAAAUUAACUAAAUUGACAUUAGAACUAUUGUUUAUAUAACUAACCACGCCGAAAUAACAGGGGAUGAAGCAUAGUAAUCACGUUCUAUUUUAUCUUUGCGCUUCAAUGUUCCAAUGCCAUACGAAAUGUAACAAUAAAACAAUGAUAAAGUUGAGCAACAACUAAACAAGCGAAAACUCACAGUUUUCCAACCAUCGGGAUCGAGAAAAGAGGUGAUCUUGGUGUUGAGUACAGGAAUCGGUCCAGGCUGUCUGGUUAUCUUUCCUCCAAGCUCUUGUGUAACCGAAUUGACAGCCUCAGCACUUUUGUAGACAUCAUCGGUACUGAUAGUAAUCCGGUAUAUGCAGACACAAACGUAUCAGGAUAGUAGAAAUUGUUUGAGAAUUAAACGUUUUUAAAAGGACAAAAUAUGGAACAAGUUGCAAAAAAAGUCUGACCUGUGCAUACGCAUUUCCUUUGGUGUAUUUGGUCACACCAUAGCUAUAGGUCAACUCCAAGAUAGUUGCUUGGUCAUCUUCUAUAUGUACAGAUCGUGCCAUGGGGGGUGGGGGGGGGGGCGGCGGGCGGGCUGUUGGGGGAGGUUUCUACUGCAAUUGUUUGCUGCGAACGGUGGUCUAUCAAUUAGGCAACCAGUGGAGAUUCUCUUAGCCUAAAAGAAAAAGUGAUGCAACUUUAUUUCAGGAGGUCAUUUCGGCUCAAUUUUCUUCCUUAAUCAUGAUUCCACUUUGGGCCCUGAAUGCCAUUUUUGGCCCAAUUUGCCCCAUAAAUUUAAAUUAUAUUUCCACUUUAUUCCUGCCAAUUUUUGAGCCCACACGUUGACGUGGUAUUUGGAAAUUCAUAACUUUAUUUAUUUAUAUUGCUACACGUGUGGAGCCUACUUGGCAUGCACACACAAGAAAACAAAGGAUGAGGAUUCUCUCCGGAUUCUCAUCAUGGGAAUCUUAGUGAUCCUCACAUUCUAAUCGUUUAUCGCAGAUCGUGCGAUCAUUUUUCGUGAGGUACUAUGUUUAAUUUUAAAUAAAAAAUUUAAAAUAAUUUUUGACUGCAUGAUGUACAUAAACGGUUAAGAUAUAAGGAUCCAUCAGAUCCCCAUAAUUUGGAUCCAAAUCAGAAAAUAAAUACGCUCUUUGCAUGCCACAUCAGCAUCCAGAUGAAAUAAGAUGGGACUUGACGACACGUGGCAAAUGGGACGAUAAAGAGCAUUAGAGCAUCUCGUAGUGCAAAUUAUAAAAUAGAGAGUGAAGAGUGCAUUUAAAAGAAUAGUUUCAUCAUUAGCAGACUACAUAUUAUUGAAUUUUAUUUUUAAAUUCUUAUAUAAAAUGAUUAUUUAAACUUUAUAAGAAUUUAAAAUAGAAUUUUUUUUUUAUGAAUACACCCUCAAAUUAUGUUUAACGUUUUUUCAAAUUUUCUUCAAGCUCUCAAAGCAACUAUCACAUUUCAUUAUAAAACUAAACCCGAACUACAAAGGUAAGAGAGAGAGUUGAAAAGUCAUGGAGUUGUACAAAAUUUUAAUGUUCAGGAGGAGAUAGAAUUUGCACAAUAAAAAGCCCUGAGUUAAAUUGCAAAUAUGUUAAAUGAUUAAAAAUGAUAUGAAAUUUAAUAUGGUAUAAUAAUUGAAAAAAAAAUAAUGUAUCAAAUAUUGUCAUUUUGUAAAAUAUGCAAGGGUAUAAUUACUAUUUGAAAAUUUCAUUAAAUGGACAUUAUUCAUUAUUCGUUAAAAAAAAUAUUUAUUUUAGAAGUUGUCAUGCUUUUACUUUUCUACUAGUAUUGACAACAAUUUUUUAAAUAAACAUUUUUUAUUUAUUUUACCUAAUCCAUUUGAUGUUUUAGAUUAUUUAAUAAGUUUUUUUUUCAAAAGCACCACAUCCCAAAUAAGUCCUAAGAAUUUGAAGGUGGUGGUGAUUUUCAGAUAUAGGCCUUUGUGCACGCAUACCGCCAUGUAGUAGGUUUUUUGUUGUGACGGGAAUACGGAGGAUACAUCACGUGUUUUUAUACAAGUAGUAGAAAAUUUUAAUUUUAAAGUUAUUAACCUUUUAACACACAUAACUCAUCAUUUAUAUAUAAACAUAUGGUGUAUUAUCUCGUGUGACGGUCACACUGAAAAACUCUUAUGUGGUCAGUCGGUCGAGCAAAAAAGUUUCAGUAAAAAAAAAUCUCUCUCUUCUUUCUCUCUCUAGGAUUAAAAGGCUGCCAUUUUUUAUUUUUUAUUAAUUGAAAAACUGGCUCACACAUAUUCCAUGCAGAAGUAGGCUCACACAUACAGACUUGGAUUCUCUGCCCUCCAAUUUCUGUAUCCUCCUCGUGUCCUCCUGUUUUUGUGGUCUCGGUUAAGCCACGUCAACAUUUUAUAUUACUAUUUCUUUUUGUUUUAUUAUUUUUAUAAAAAAAUAAUAUAAAAUAUUGACGUGACUUAACCGUGACCAUUCAAAACAGGAGGGCACGAAAGGGCAGAGGGCAGACAAUCCAAGUCCCACACAUACUCCAUGCCAUCAAUUUCUACUCGUCUCUCAGAAAGUGGAAAAUGACCAUGGAAUUCAAAGUGAAGGCACUGGUUUCGGUUAUAUAUGUGCUCUCCUUCCUGAGCUAUGGCGGCGCUGCAGCUACCGCUGUGACCAGCACCACCAAUUACUCUGCUGCACCUGGUGCUGCGACCAACACCGACCACCACUCCGAUGGCGGCGUCGCAUCUGGUUGGGAUCUUGCAUCCAACCUCCAACACCGAGCACGUACCGCUUUCUGUAUGUGCGACACGACUUGUGGUACGUAAUCUGAUUACGCACCUUUCAUUUUUUCCCCUUCUUGUUCUGUUAAAUUGUUUGUUUGGAUCAGGAAGAUAGCAAUUAAAUCGGUUUUUGCAUUUUCUUUUCUUAUUAACCCAGUCAUGUCCUGGAGGAUGGAUUGGAAUAAUAUUUAGGAAAAAACUACCGUUUAAUUGGUUUAAUUUCUAAUGCAGGCUCUGUUUCGGCUGGUGCUGCGACCAACACCACCGAUUACUCUGUUGGCGGCGGCGGCAGAUCUGGUUCGGAUCUCUCGUCCAACCUCCGACUCCGAGCAUGGGCCAGCGACUCGACUCUUGGUAUGUAUUCUGAUCAUCUUCUAAAUUAUCUUGUUUUGUUCCUCGUCCUGUUUUAAUUAUCUUGUUUGUUAAUUUGGCUGGUUAGAAAAUUAUCGUGCUUGGAUCCUUUUGUUUUAGUUAUCUUGUUUGUUAAUUUGGCUGCUAAGAAAAUUAUCCUGUUUGGUUCCUUGUUCGGUUUUCAUUAUCUUGUUUGUUUGGCUGCUAAGAAAAUUGUCCUGUUUGGCUGGCAAGAAACAGAUAUAUGUGGAUUGGAUGUUGAGUGGAUGACUGAUCGAAUGAAUAUUCACUGCCUAUCAAUUGCUAAUUUUUCAUUUUUAUCAAGGAACGACAAUGAACUAGUUUUUAUACACGUCCAAGUACUAAAUUGCAAUAAUUCUUAAAUUAUACGAGUUAUUGCUACACAAGCGAUAUUAAAAGAAAAAAAUCCAAAUGCUCGUAACCACUUUCGUUGCAAGUUUUUUUUUGGCUAAAUAAUUUAGACAAAAUGUAAUCAGGAAGUAAGUAUGCAGUUUCUUGAAUCCGAAUGAUAUUUAUAUAUACCCUCCUCCUUUUAUCUGAAAAAUAUUAUGACUGGCCCACGGGCCACGUGCUCUCCCUCCUCCUUGCUUCUGUCGAAUUAGUAUAUAUAUCUCUACAGUACAUAGUGCAUUUCAGAGCAUAUCAUGUCAUAAGUGUCAUUUUCCGAUUUCAAGAAGAUUUCAAGAAACGGCGGAGGCCAAGAAUCCGAACGCUCUCGCACACAUGGAAUCGUCGUUCCAACCGUGGCUCAUUCUCAAUUCGAUCCGAUCAAUCCAACAUUGGAGACGCAGUUUGAUGGUGGAUGAUGGAAGAUACGAAUCAGAAAAAUUGGAAGUUGCCUUCUCGGGCAUGGUUUCAGUGGACAAAGCCCUUCUUAAUGUCCUGACGAGCCUGAUAUCCAAUGAAGUCAAGAAACGAAAAGGAAGCCUGAAGGUGGGGGUCAGCGGAGAUUUAAGUUCGGAGGACGAUCUUGAAACCUUGUCAGCAAUUAUCAGUGCUCUUGAGCAAGCUCUUCCACCGCCGCCGCUGCUCCCGCUCUCACGCCCAUGGAAUCGUCGUCGUUCCAACCAAGACGCAUUCUAAAUUCAAUCCGGUCCAUCCAACAGUGCCGGCGGAGAAGGAUGAUGGAAGAUACGAAUCAGAAGAAUUGAAACCUGCCUUAUUGGCCAUGAUUUCUGCCUUCUCAGACAUGGUUUCAGUGGAAAAAGCCCUUCUCAAUGUCCUGAGGCGCCUGAUAUCCGACGAAGUCAAAAGAAGAGGAAGUUUGGAGGUAGGGGUCAACGGAGACAUAAAUUCGGAUGAGGAUCUUGAAAUGAUGUCAGCUAUUAUCAGUGUUCUUGAGCACCAGAAGCAGCAGCAGGAGGGAACUCUUCCUCCGCCGUAGCUACCACCGCGGCUCCUCCCGCUCCUGCUUCUGUCACGCCAAUUACGAAUUGGAUUUCACAAAAGAGGAUGCUGAUUCUCAACAGUGGCACACGUGCCUUUGACAGAAUAUUGGAGGAUCUGGUUUACAGAGCAGUUUCACGGGUUAUUGAAGGUUUUUUUUUCAAAUGAACGCAACCAAUUGAUGGUGAUGUUACGGCAAAAAGGAAUUAGGUGAUCCUUUUUUCUGAUAUUGUUUUUUUGUAAAAAUGUCUUUUUUCUGAUUGUUGUUGAUGAAUUGAGGGUUUAGAAAAUUUGUACAAAUAUAAAAUUUGUAAUGGAAACUAUUCAUUUCUCAUUUCGGGCUUAAAUACGUAUCGACUAUGAACAUGAAAUUGGCCGGAAAAGUUACACCAAACCUGAUCUAGUAAUCCAGCCAAAAGUUUGGGCCAUGUAUCAGGCCCAACCAGCCUUAACCGGAUCUAGCCCAGCCCAGUAACCAACCCAAAUCAUUAACCUUAACCCAAGCCCAGACUCGGAUCCCAUCCCAGUUCCAAUGUCCCUGAGUGGGUCGGCAAGUGGGUGCGCGUCAUAGACGGCGCGUGGAGUACACACGCAUCUGCCUGAAGUAGCUUUCUCCCCGUCUACGGCGGGGCCGGCCUAUUUUCUGGCCAAUUUCAUGUUCAUCGUCGAUACGUAUUUAAACCCGAAAGGAGAAAUGAAUAGUUGCCAUUACAAAUUUUAUAUUUGUAUAAUUUUUCUAAACCCUCAAUUCAUCAACAACAAUAAGAAAAAAGGCAUUUUUACAAAAAACAAUAUCAGAAAAAAGAUCACCUAAUUCCUUUUCGUUGUAGCAUCACCAUCAAUUGGCCGCGUUCAUUUGAAAAAAAAAACCUUCAAUGACCCGCGAAACUACUAUGUAAACUAGAUCUUCCAAUAUUCUGUCCAAGGCACAUGUGCCACUGUUGAGAAUCAGCAUCCUCCUUUGUGAAAUCCAGUUCGUAAUCGGCGCGACAGGAGCAGGAGCGGGAGGAGUGGCGGCGGUAGCUGCGGCGGAGGAAGAGGUUCCUUCCUGCUGCUGGUGCUCAAGAGCGCUGAUAAUAGCUGACAUCAUUUUAAGAUCCUCCUCCAAAUUUAUGUCUCCGUUGACCCCCACCUCCAGACUUCCUAUUCUUUUGACUUCGUCAGAUAUCAGGCACCUCAGGACAUUGAGAAUGGCUUUUUCCACUAAAACCAUGUCCGAGAAGGUAGAAAUCAUGGCCAAGAAGACAGGUUUCAAUUAUUCUGAUUCGUAUCUUCCAUCAUCCUUCUCCGCCAUCAAUCUCCGCCGACACUAUUGGAUGGACCGGAUCGAAUUUAGAAUGCGUCUUGGUUGGAAUGACGACGAUUCCAUGUGUGCGAGAGCGGGAGCGGUGGAAGAGCUUGGCUCAAGAGCACUGAUAAUUGCUGACAAGGUUUCAAGAUCGUCCUCCGAACUUAAAUCUCCGCUGACCCCCACUUUCAGGCUUCCUUUUCAUUUCUUGACUUCGUCGGAUAUUAGGCUCGUCAGGACAUUGAGAAGGGCUUUGUCCAUUGAAACCAUGCCCGAGAAGGCAGGUUCCAAUUCUUUUGAUUUGUAUCUUCCAUCAUCCACCAUCAAACUGCGCCUCCAAUGUUGGAUUGACCGGAUCGAAUUGAGAAUGAGCCACGGUUGGAACGACGAUUCCAUGUGUGCGAGAGCGUUUGGAUUCUUGGCCUCUGCCGUUUCUUGAAAUCUUCUUGAAAUCGGAAGAUGACGACACUUAUGACAUGAUACGCUCUGAAAUGCACUAUGUAAUGUAGAGAUAUAUAUACUAAUUCGACAGAAGCAAGGAGGAGGGAGAGCACGUGGCCCGUGGGCCAGUCAUAAUAUUUUUCAGAUAAAAGGAGGAGGGUAUAUAUAAAUAUAAUUCGGAUUCAAGAAACUGCAUACUUACUCCCUGAUUGCAUUUUUUCUAAAUUAUUUAGUUACAAAUUACAAUAUGGUAAAACCAAAUUUAAAUCAUUCUGAGAAACAUGAAAUAACAUAAAUUAAGUAAUAAAUAGACAUUUGCAUUCAAACAAAAUACAAGGAUUGAGUCAUUUACCGACUUAAGACCCAACAAGUGCAUUGAGAAAAAGAUGUCCUAUAAAGAAGACAGAAUAAUUGUUAGCGGUCGAACCUAGUGAUUUUGAGGCAUAACAGAAAUAAUGGCAUCAUUCUUCAGUGUUUAACCUUAAUCUCAAAUACAAGAAAAUACUUAGGAAGAUCAAAUUUAACACAAGACCGUAUAUACCUGGGGUGGCAGGGGAAAAACAUAUAUUGUUAUAUGUUUAAACUGCUCACACAAUUCAGGAAAGAAUGGAUGUAUCCAUUUAGAGGCUGCACCGCCCAUUGGCCAUUGGCCAUUGCCCAACAAGUAAGUAAAUUCAUUACUUGGAAACCUGUGAUCAUGAAGCCACGCAAACAUGAACAGCCAAAGAACGUAUAUUACUUGUAGUGUUUGUGUAUUGCACAGUUCUGGUUUUUAAUGCUCUCUAGUAUAACUAGAAAUGUAUCACAUAAAAUGUAUGGGUGUUAUUGUUAAUUGUAUAAGAAUCAGUUUAACUUAACAUGAGGGAAUGGGUAAUACAUACAUUUAUGUGCACUCUUAGUCAAUGGUAAUUAAGUCCUACAACAUGAAAAAGCCUCAAUGCACAUUUUGUGGCGUAUCGGGUAUAUGUAAGCAGGGGCGGAUCCACAGUGGGGUUAAUGGGGUCACACGACCCCUUGGAAGCCAUGGAAACUACCUUAGAGACCCCUUGGAGAUGGUGGAACGACCCCUUGGAGCUGACUGGUGCGACCCCUUGGCUGCACACCAACUGUUCGACGAAAGGCUCCUCGGCGGCUGGGCAAAACGAAGACGAAGGAGAAGGCGCUGCGCGCCUGUUUUUUUUUAAAAGCAACCUGGGCAAAACGAGUGCAGUGUUCUGGAAUUUCUAAGUUUUUCAGGUUCUGUUCUUGCGACGAAAGGAGGAAGAAGAUGAGUUUCUCUCUCAUCCUUUCCUUCUCACGUGACCAUCUCAAACUUUCCCAUAAAAUUUAUUUUAUAAUUUUGUCCAAUCACAUUUGGAUAGCUAGCAUUAAGUUGACGUUUUCAAAAAGGAAAAAUGGGCUGUCAAUACCCAGGUUUAAAUUUUUAUAUUCAAGAUGGGGAAAAGCAAAGAAUAAAAAAGAAUAAAAUAUGGUCUCUGUUUGUGAGUCUCUUGCUAAUGUGAGUGAUGGAAGGUGUUUGCAAUGCUUUUCUGACCGUUGGAGGUGUUUGCAUUGCUAUCAUCAAAGCAAUGCCAGACAUUUACAAAUGUAAGCCACCCAUAUAACUUGACAGCACGUUAAGCCACGUGUGUUUGGUUAGGGGAUUUCUUUGAUGAUAGCAAUGGACGUAGUUUGGGGAUGUCUGGCAUUGCUUUCUAGUUUUUUUAUUAUGAAACCAACCAAUUCAUUACAUGAGAUUUUUAUUUUAUUUUUUGAAAAAUUAGAUAUAAUUAUUCAAAAUAUCUUAAGUUAUAUGGCAUAUAUGCUUAAUGUGUUUCUAAAUUUUAGACUUGUUAGAUAUUUUUUUUGUACGUUCAGGACCUUUGAACAAGGAUUUUGGAGUAGCUAGUCGCGCUAUCCCAAUGAAAUGACGAUAUGCAUGCCGUUUCUGUUAAAAAAAAUUUUCGCGCUACGCGCGCUAUCCUUAUUGAACUUUUACAUUGCGACCCCUUGGGGUAAGAUUCCUGGAUCCGCCACUGUAUGUAAGUCUCUACAAUUGGGUAACAUGGAUUAUAUAGGAUUGGGUUCGAUAAACUACAACAUUGAAGCAGGAAAUGGAUGUUAACUUGCAAAUGAAUUAGACACAAAGAAAACUUAUUCCUUCCACCUUGGAUGGUUUAAGGAAUUGGGAAUAGAAAAAUUAGAGAAAAUGCAGAUUGGGUGAUAAGGGUCGUCAACAAAAUUCAUUCUUUCACCUUUUUACCAGAAUCACGGGGAGACCGUCGGUGGGAUAUAUUGCGGAUGGUGGAGAGCUUCUUUCACUCCUCUCCGAUGCUAAAGGAGUUAAAUCAUAUAAAUAUUGUUCUUAUACCGACGGUAGACAAUCCAACGAAAAUGACUCAGUUUCGUCCAAUUUUAUGGCGCAUAAGGUAAUCUCGAAAGUCUUGACAAAUAGAUUGAACGUUGUUGAUAUGAUUUUUAGUAUUUGUGCAAAUACGGUUAAAAUCACUUAAAAUACUUGUUAAGAGUACAAGGUAAUUGUAGUAUAAUCGUCAUGCAAGAUCGUUCUCGACAAGAAUUAAAUGAAUAAUUUGUAUUUAAACCAACCCUUAAUUAAUUAUUUAAAAACAAAUUUAGCAAGAAUUGAGAUUUUGUAAUUUAAAAUAUUAAAAUAACAAUAAAAGAAAUCUGGAAAUUUGGGAAAAUCUUUACAAAGAGAGAAAAACGUUUUUUUAGAAUAAAAUAAUUAUGAAAAGGUUAGAGUUUAGCUGUUACCAUUAACAAUUUUUUAUGCAAUUUUAUUAAUUACUUGUGAAUUUUUACAUACAUGUUUGGAUUAUUAGGUUCUCUAAUGCAUAUUUUUCUCGUAAUGUUCAAACAAAAACGUGCAUAUUUUUCUCGUAAUGUUCAAACAAAAACGUAUAUAACAUGUAAUUCGUUUGUAAUAUUCAAAUUAAAUAUAAAAUAUGGAUUUUCUUGGGAAUUGUUAUUAGCAUUCCAAAAAUCUCAUUCUACACUUCAAACUUUCUAUAUUAGAAAAAAUAUAUAUACAUAUAAGGAGUGUAAAAUGAGAUUUUUGAAGCGCCAAUAACACUUCCCAUUUUCUUUUGGUCAUAAAUAAUUUGGAAAUUGAGAAAAAGGAAAAUUUGACCACCCAGAAAGGGAGAGGCUGCUCCCUCGUAUCCAUGUACUUGUCCACCACAAGGGACUUUCUCGGCCCGGGCCCACACCACUUGACGAAUGCGAUGACAAUUUUGAUCGAGCCCACGAAUCGUAGCCCGCCACGUAAGCAGUGCCUAUGCGGGGUAGCUAUGGUACGGAAUAACGUCCAGGUUCAAAGAACCUGAAUGGCCUCCCGUUAAUGGCUCUGUUUAUAUAAACAUCCUCAGAUUAACCUGCUAAUCAUAAAUUUUCGAAAUCACAGAGCGAAAAACAGAGGAUUCGGAUUCAAUUCAGAAAAUCGUUUUUGAAAAUGGCUCUCGCUGUUACUUCUUCUUCUUCUGCUUCGAUCUCUGGUCGCACCUUCACUCCCUCCUCAGAACCCAGAGGUACAAUUUUUUUCCUAAUUUUUUCUUAUUUCUCUUUAUUGGACUGAGAAACUGGGAAAUGUUGAUUUGGGAUGUGAAUUAACGAGUUGGGGUUUCGGAUUUUGGAAUUUUCAGCUCCGCAAUUGGGUUGCAUUCGGGUGUUUGAUCGAUCGUACGGUCAAAUUCAAAGCAAUGCCGUGACGUUUUCUCAGCGGCGGAGCUCGGUGAAGCCGGUGAAUGCGCAGCCGAAGCGGAGCGAGUCGAUUGUGCCUUCUGCAGCGACGGUUUUUGCUCCUGGUAAAGACUGAAAUUUUGUUUUAUUUUUUUUGAGAUUAUUGGGUUUUUAUGUGGGUUUUACUGAAAAUUUGAGAUUUUUGCAGAGGUGGUUGAGAAAGUAGAGGUGGAGGACUAUGCCCAAUUGGCUAAAGAGCUCGAGAAUGCUUCCCCUCUUGAGAUUAUGGACAAGGCGCUUGAGAAAUUCGGCAACGAUAUCGCCAUUGCUUUCAGGUACUCCUCCCUCUCCGAUUUGUACUUCCUUUUCCAAUGUAACGUUAUACACUAUGUGCUACUCAAUCAAAUAAUGUUUUAGUUAAGUAGGUGGUGAGGGAAUUAUGCAUUGAGGGUGGAAAUUGUUUGAAAGUAAUAAUACUCGGCUUCAAAUGCAUUUGUGUGUUUCUAAUAUGUUGUUAACGAAAAUUAAGGUUUCUCGAUGAAUUGAGCUAACUGUAAGAAGCUUUGUAUAGUUUAUGCCUUCUGAUGUGUGGAUUCAAUAGUCAGCCAUUUUAUUCUCCAUAUUAACCAACGACUCUGUGUUUGCAGUGGAGCUGAGGAUGUUGCUUUGAUCGAGUAUGCGCAUUUAACCGGUAGACCCUACAGGGUUUUCAGCUUGGAUACUGGGAGGCUGAACCCUGAAACAUAUCAAUUCUUUGAUACAGUCGAGAAGCACUAUGGCAUCCGCAUUGAAUACAUGUUUCCAGAUGCUGUUGAAGUUCAGGCAUUAGUAAGGACCAAAGGGCUGUUCUCUUUUUACGAGGAUGGGCACCAGGAGUGCUGCCGUGUGAGGAAGGUGAGACCCCUGAGGAGGGCCCUCAAGGGGCUGCGUGCCUGGAUCACCGGACAACGGAAAGAUCAAUCUCCAGGGACUAGGUCUGAAAUUCCUGUUGUCCAGGUUGACCCUGUUUUCGAGGGACUGGAUGGCGGUGCUGGCAGCCUGGUGAAGUGGAACCCAGUGGCAAAUGUUGAGGGUCAUGACAUAUGGAACUUCCUGCGUGCCAUGAAUGUACCUGUGAAUUCACUGCACUCUAAAGGGUACAUCUCGAUUGGUUGUGAGCCAUGCACAAGGUCAGUCCUACCUGGGCAACAUGAGAGAGAAGGAAGAUGGUGGUGGGAGGAUGCCAAGGCUAAGGAAUGCGGUCUUCACAAGGGCAACAUUAAACAGGAAGGAGGAGGCGAGAAUGGCAAGGCUGCACAGUCAAAUGGUGCUGCCACGGAAACUGAUAUAUUCACUUCCCAGAAUCUAGUCACCUUAAGCCGAACUGGAAUAGAAAAUUUGGCAAAACUUGAGGACCGGAAAGAACCAUGGAUUGUAGUGCUCUAUGCACCGUGGUGCCAGUUCUGCCAGGCAAUGGAAGCAUCAUACGUUGAAUUGGCUGACACGUUGGCCGGGAGCGGUGUGAAAGUAGGGAAGUUCAGAGCAGAUGGCGAGCAAAAGGAGUUUGCCCAGAAAGAGCUGCAGCUUGGAAGCUUCCCCACCAUACUUUUCUUCCCCAAACACUCUUCUCAGCCGAUCAAGUACCCAACAGAGAAAAGGGAUGUUAAUUCAUUGUUGGCUUUCGUCAAUGCCCUCCGGUAACCAACCGAAAUUUUGAAAUGUUUGCAGAAGGUAGUCCUGGUCUGGUUUUCCAGAACCACAGUCCAAGCUCCCCAUUCAUCUCCAUACCUAAACGGUGAAGUCAACAUUCGUUGGCUAACCAGCUGCGGUCGCCGAUAAAUGCUAUCGAUUCUUCGUUGAAUCUGUGUUUUUAGAAAUGUAUCUAUGUUUCUCCAAGAAUGUCUCCAAGUCCUUAGGUAUAGUGUGUUCACAGUUCCUCACAAGAGGGCUCUUGUAAUUUUCAUUUUGGUCUCCGGUGAGUGAUUUCUGAUUUGGUUUUCUUGUAGCAUUCACAUUUUUAACUGCGGCAUUCUUCGUGGUAAAAUUUAUCAACUUGUGCUUUCUCAAACUAGUUUAGUGGUAAAACACCUUUCCUCUGCCCACCCAUUUUUCAUAAUUAUGUUCAAAGGGCAUAUCUUUCUCUGUGUUACAGUUGAGAAAACCUAUAAAUUACACAUGUUGUUGGUCCAACAACAUUUACCUAAUUACAUUCCAUUUGCAGCUUAAAAACAUAAACCUUUAUGUAGGCAUUAAGAAAAACUUUAUCGUAACCGGAUGUAUGUCCCCUCUUACCACAUUCGUGCAAAGCGAGAGGAGAGGGGGCAUCUUUCCGGUUACAUAUAAGAAUGGGUAUCAGAUUCAUGUUGAAAAAUGAGGAAUGCAGGCAUACUGUUUGAUGAAGAAUGCAAUUAUAUGAAAAUGCAGAAACCUGUCGGACUGAGAGUGUUGUUUUAUCAAACUAUUGCUGGUGCGCAAAGCAAGGGAAGGCAUUUGUUUUUGGUGACCCACCCUCACCUGUACGCUGUCGUUCUACUUGUGCUCGUGACUCACUGCAGAAUAUGGUGCCGUAGAGACUCUGUAAUAUUGUAUGCUACCCAAGAAAACUCUGGAUGCUCGUCACGUUUUUGGCUGGCAAUGUCUUUUGCCCGUUUCUCCUCCACAGUACAAGCAGCACUUUCUUACAACGGAAAUGCUAAUUUGUCGAUAUUUCAAAUUAAUUCUACAUUGUUAUGUGAAAAGUUAAAAUGUAUGCUAACGUGAUUGCUAUGAAAUAUCACUACAUUAGCAUAACAUUGUAUAAUUUUAAUAGGAAGAAAAAUUUGCAUGCAAUCAUGAUUACCGGGUAGAGAUAUUUCUAACCAAUCAGAUGAUGCAAGUGAGUAGAUUAAAACAUGUAACAGAGUAUAAUAGACCUACAGUACCGCCACAUUUACGUUGCAAUUGCACUAAGUUUUUACAGUAGUUUGAGCCCAAAAAUGUCUUAUCCGAAGUGAACCACACCCUUCAGAGAGAAGCAGGAAGCCAGGCUGUGAUGCAAGAACACCAUCUCAAAGCUGCAGAAGUAACCCCACGUUUUAUAUUCUUUUUACUUUAAUUCCCAACUCUCAACUGGCAACGGGCAAGUGGCAAUCGCACAGUACCACCUCCAGAAAGUGCUUUAAAUUUUCAAGUAUUUCCCUUCAGAACAAUUUGCCUUUUGGAGGCAAACCCAACUAGAUGGCAAAAGAAUCAAAGAAAGUGCACCAACCCCCUUCAAAAACAAGGCCAUUUUGGUAAAUUACUUGAAGCCACUCACUUAAUUUCCUUGCAACAAUGCGGUAAAUCCUCAGAAGAACUCACUGAUUCACGGUAGAUCAAUUUGGGUCAACAACCAAAAACCCAGAGAAAGAAAGAAAUUAAAUUAAAUAAAACCACACCAGAAAAAAGAAGAAAUCUUUUGGAGGAUAAUGCAAGGAUCUGCAGCUGCUGAACCAGAAACAGAGGAUGAGGAAGCAGCAUUGCUCAAGCUCCUCUCCAAUGGCGGUCACUAAGCUCCUCUCCCUCUCAACCCUCCUGUUCUUCUUCCUCUUUGCAUACGAAGGUAAGCAACUUUCUCUACUAACUUUUAACAUUUUCUUGCUCGGUUUUAUUCAAUUCAAAGUUUAAAUCCAAUAGUACUUCAAAAAUCAAAGAAAUCAAGCAACUUUUUUCCCCGCUUGUGGCAUUUUCUUUCUGGGUUUUCUCCGUUAUUUCGAAAUAAUCUAGAAAGCAUUCAACUUUUUCACUAAUUGUAACAUUUGGUUGCUGGGUUUUCUUCAUUACAAAGUUUAAACCCAGCAGUCUCCAAAAACCAAGGAAGCAAGCAACUUUCUCGACCGUUUCUAACACUUAAUUGCUCGGCACUUUCAGCUGCAUCUUCUCCGCCGACAUUCGAAAGCACCAAGCUGCAAAACCAGGACCAAGAAAAUAAGCCGUUCGUUGGAGUGAACAUCGGUACCGACGUUUCGAAUCUUCUGUCUCCGUCGGAGCUCGUUUCGUUUCUGCAACUCCAGCAGAUCAACCACAUCCGCCUCUACGAUGCCGACCCGGACAUCCUCAAAGCCCUGUCUAAAACCAAGAUCCGGGUCGUCAUCAGCGUCCCAAACAACCAGCUCCUCGCCAUCGGCUCCUCCAACACCACCGCCGUUUCCUGGGUCGGCCGAAACGUCGUCGCUUACUACCCCCAAACCCUCAUCACCGGCAUUGCGGUCGGUGACGAGGUCUUAACCACCGUGCCCUCUUCAGCUCCUCUACUUCUUCCAGCAAUUCAGUCCCUUUACAGCGCUUUAGUGUCUGCAAAUUUGCAUACCCAUGUGAAAAUUUCGACCCCUCACGCCGCCUCGAUAAUUCUCGAUCCGUUUCCGCCGUCUCAGGCGUUCUUCAACCAGAGCUUAACUCAAAUUGUUUUCCCAUUACUUCAGUUCUUGUCGAAAACCGGGUCGCCGCUGAUGAUGAAUUUCUACCCUUACUAUGUGUUUAUGCAGAACAAAGGUGUGGUGCCUCUCGACAAUGCGCUGUUCAAGCCCUUAAAGCCGUCGAAAGAGAUGGUGGAUCCCAAUACUUUGCUACAUUAUACUAAUGUGUUGGAUGCUAUGAUUGAUGCUGCUUAUUUUUCCAUGAAAAACCUUAAUGUUACUGACGUCGCGGUUCUUGUUUCGGAGAGCGGGUGGCCUUCAAAGGCGGAUUCUAAGGAGCCUUAUGCUACUAUCAACAAUGCGAAUACAUACAAUUCCAAUCUUAUUAAGCAUGUUCUUGAUCGUAGCGGAACCCCUUUGCACCCCGAGACCACUUCAAGUGUGUACGUUUAUGAAUUGUUCAAUGAGGAUGUAAGGUCUCCGCCGGUGUCUGAGGCCAAUUGGGGAUUGUUUUAUGGGAAUUCGAGUGCGGUGUAUUUGCUUCAUGUAUCGGGAAGUGGGUCUUUUUUGGCAAAUGAUACAACAAACCAGACCUACUGCAUUGCCAUGGAUGGGGUUGAUGGAAAGAGUUUGCAGGCUGCAUUGGAUUGGGCAUGUGGACCGGGGCUGGCAAAUUGCUCAGAGAUUCAGCCGGGUGAAGAUUGUUACUCUCCGAAUAAUGUGAAAAGCCAUGCUUCGUAUGCAUUCAAUAGCUAUUUCCAGAAGCAAGGGAGGGCUGCCGGGUCUUGUGACUUCAAAGGUGUAGCCACCAUUACCACCACUGACCCAAGUAAGUUUUACUCCCUCUACAUUAUCCGAUUACCGUUCUAGCUUGCGUGGAUUUCUCAUUUUCCCCUUUCAUUCAAUGAUGCUGAGGGCUGAGUUCUCUCUAAAGUUUAUAGUAUAGCUUAGUUGCAGAUUAAGGAGAUUUGAGACCUUGAUUAGAAUUAGUAUGAGACUCGAUUUUGUUAGAUGACGCUGGAAUCAAACUUGUCAGCAUAGACGAUUGCAAACAAGGGAGUGGCCAAGUUGGCAAUGCGCCCUCUGUGCACCCAAAUUCGAAUUCCUGUCUUCGUAGUUUAGAUUAGACUAGAAUACACUUCCUCUACUGGGGCUCCACUCUAUCUGUAUACUUUUCUGUUGGUUAUGUAAUGCAGAUAUGAACAAUAACCUCGUUCCCUUUUCGUUUUUCCUUUUUUCAUUGGAAUAUCGCAGGUCACGGGAGCUGUAUGUUUCCCGGAAGGUAAGACUCAGGAAGCUUUCUGUUGUUGCUACAUACAGUAAAUUGGUUUUCAUUUAGCAUACAAGUUUUUCAAUGUUCUUAAAGAGGGGUGUUUUGUUUUGAGUGCAGUAAGAAGGCGAGCAACACGACGAGGCAAGUGGUGAACUCGACGAAUUCGAGUAGCGGAGUAGACAGAUUAAGAUUCGUUGCCUUCGGCAGCAGCAGAAUAAGUGCCAUCAGCGGGAUGUUAUCUGUAUUUUUUGUUGGAAUCUUCUCUAGUUUGGUAUUCAUUCCUUUUGUGACUCCAUGCUGAGGUUGAAAUAAAAUUAUUUUUUGGGGAAUAAAUUUUAUAUUUCUUUUUCAGUAUUUGGUAAUCUACUGCCGGUGAUCUUUUGUUAGAUGAACGUGUAAAACGAAGUAAACUGUCAUCUUAAAAAUUGAAUGUGGAGUGACGAAUAAUUGAACAAACGUGGAUUAAGCUAGUUGAUUAUAGCAGUGUGGCUGCCCGCUUGAACCCGAGUUUGAUUUCCACUUUCCAUAGAAUAGAAUCGUUUAGAUUAAUAUCGCUUUUUCAAUAAAUAAAAAAAAGGAGUGUAGAUUAGUAUGUAAAUCUAACAAAUGGAAAAGAAAGGGGAGGGAGGGCAAAGAAGAAAAAGUUGGAAUUUAAUAAAACAAAAAGACAAGUGCGGUGAAGGUGGAUCGAACACCUGACCUUCAGAUCUUCAGUCUGACGCUCUCCCAACUGAGCUAUCCCCGCAGAUGUCUUUUAGUCAAAUGAAAUUAACAAUUUACAGUUGUUGACUAUCAUAACCCAGCUUGCCAUUCUCUUAGAAUCCGAGCAGCUACAAUGCUUUCCAAAAUUCCAAGGAGCGCCAGUUUUCAAAUUUGGAAAUUAGGGUUCAAGGCCUCCAACAAUUACAAUGCUCUCCAAAACUCCAUGAUUUUUGCAGCUUCUGUGUCACUGACUUUCCCAAGUAAUCAUCCUCUUCUUCCCCACCGCGGCACAGUAAACCCUAGAGUAACCUGCAACUCUACUGCUCUGACCCUAAAAAUGUCUUGGGCAUGCAAAGAAUGCACCUUUCUCAACCCCCCACCGACCCCAUCUCAAAAACCCACCUGCAAAAUCUGCCUCUCUCCAUCAUCGCCGCCACCCCAAUCGCCGCCGUCUUCUUCCACUGCAAAAUGGUCGUGCAAGGCCUGCACUUUCCUCAACUCCUACAAGAACUCUAACUGCGAAGUGUGCGACACUCGGGCUCCGAUCUCCUCCCUCUCGAGUUUCGAGGAUUUGGAUGAUGAUUCGGGGAUCGGCGGCGGCGGGGACCUUGAUUCUUCGGUGGGCACUGUUUUUUUGCCUUUGCAGCGGUGCAAGAGGAAGAGGGUUGAAGACGAUCCAAUUGAGGUUAAACAGGGUUCUUCCAGUUCCAAUGCGGUUCGAGAGGUCAAGGCUUCUCAUAAUUGGAUGACUGUAUCGGUUUCCAAGGCGUCCGGUAAAGGAAUUACUGUAUCGGGUUCUUCCAAUUCCAAUGUGACUCCAGGGCUCAAGGCUUCCGAUAAGCGGGUAACUGUAAAAGGUUUGUAUUCAGUCUUCAAUCUUAGCUUUUGGUUUUAUUUUUUCAUUUGACAAGCGAUAAUCUAAACUAUUCUAAUUUGUGGGGAGGAGGAUUCAAACUUGGGUGCAAAGGGGCGAAAGUUCUUGGUUUUUAUUGGGUUUGAUUUGGUUUAAAUGAUAAAGAUGUGAACUUUUCAUUGUAAUUGAUUGCUUUUGUGAUAUCUAAAUUGGGUAGACUUAUUCUAUUGCCAUGCUGACCAUUUGCUUUUUUUUUUUUUUUUGAACAAAAUGUCAAUGAAACUUGAGAAUUAUCAUUUCUAAAUGUGUUGCACAACUAUUUGUAUAUAUAUCUCUUGCCAAAGCCACCAACUUAGGCAAAAUCCUUAGCUCAAAUGCAUGAUUCCAGAAGCAGCACAAAAGCCAUUGGCAGUACAGUACAGAGCAAUUGAUUUUAUGUAAGAAAUGGUUUUUUGCUUUAAGCACCAAGACGAAGACGGACCCUUUGGUGGGAGGGAAUAAGAACACAAGGUAGCGGAAAACUUCAAAAUAUACUGGAUUUAGGUUUAGCUAGUCUCUUAGCAGCGAACCCGUUCUAUGGUAUUUAAGACAAAAUAGCUAAAUAUUGGAGAUGCUCUUAUUGUUCUACUUCUUAUGCCUCUCUUGAGUCUUGGCUUAGAAGAUUCUGUAGUUAAGUUAUUUGUUUAUUGUAAUUUCUAUAUUAUUCCUGGUAUGUACUCUGUGAUCCACUUGCAGUUUCUCACUAUGAAUAAGUUCAAUGUUUUCAGAGGGCACUAGUUCUGGGUCUUCUGCUGCGGGUUUGAAUACGUUGAAGAUUAUGAGUUACAAUGUUUGGUUCCGAGAAGACCUAGAAAUGCACAACAGGAUGAAAGCUCUUGGUGACCUUAUCCAACAGCAUUGUCCAGAUGUCAUUUGCCUUCAGGUCCCCUCACCCUUUUAAAUUGAAUGAUCAUUUGAUUCAGCCUUCUUUCAACUUCUAUCUGAUGGAUGCUUUUUUCAUGCAGGAGGUUACCCCGAGCAUAUAUGACAUCUUUCGAAAAUCUAGCUGGUGGAAAAUGUAUCAAUGCUCAGUUUCAAGUGAGACGGCAGAUUCAAGUCCAUACUUUUGCAUGCAGGUGAAAGUUUGAUCUCUAUUUUCUAUUGUGCGUUGUUUCAAAUGCUAAAGAAUUUUUAUAUGCUGUUCUAUGAGUAUCUUCUUGUCUUAUUAUUGUCCUGUGAGUUUUUCAAGUGUGUUUUGCUGAUUUCAUGAGUUGAAUGUAUCUAUAAAUCUUUUAGUAAACAUGAUACCAUCUGACAGAUGAAUUACUGUGUAGUUAAGCAAAUUGCGAGUGAAGUCCUUCAGCUGUAAACCCUUUGGGAACAGCGUGAUGGGGAGAGAACUUUGUGUUGCUGAAGUUGAAGUUGAGAAGGACAAACAUUUGGUUGUUGCCACUAGCCAUCUCGAAAGCCCUUGCCCCGGCCCCCCAACAUGGGAUCAGAUGUUCAGUAAAGAACGUGUGGAACAGGCAAAGGAGGCUGUCAACUUUCUAAAGAAGAACCAAAAUGUGAUUUUCUGCGGUGACAUGAACUGGGAUGACAAGUUGGAUGGUAAAUUUCCUUUAACUGACAGAUGGGUUGAUGCUUGGGAAGAGUUAAAACCUGGGGAAGAUGGAUGGACAUAUGAUACCAAGUCCAACAAGAUGUUGACUGGCAAUCGGAAACUGCAGAAGCGACUAGAUCGAUUUUUGUGUAGUCUACAUGAUUUCAGGGUGAGUAAAAUUGAAAUGAUUGGGAUGGAUGCAAUACCGGGUGUAUCUUAUAUCAAGGAAAAGAAAGUGAAGACGGAGAUUAGGAAGCUGGAGCUCCCUGUUUUGCCUAGUGACCAUUAUGGCUUGCUUUUGACAAUCUGUAGCCAAUGAUGUCAUUCUGUUGACAUAAAAGAUUGCGGUUAUCCUAGGUGCAUCGGUCGUUCUUUUGUGACGGACUGGCAAAUCCUGCCAUGUAUGCGUUGCAUGGUAUUUUGAGUAUAUAUCUCGUAUGAAUAUGAUAUGGAAGUUGGAUGUUGCCUUCUCAUUUUGUAUGAAGUUCUGUGGAUGAAGGUUCAACUGCCAAACUGAAUGGCUGGUAUUUUGUUUUGUAUCUUUAGUUUCUUGCUAUGGAUAAUGACCUUCUUAUAAAUUCUCCUAUGGAUUUUUCGCAUCCUCUCAUAGCUUAAGAUGCUCGCAACGUAAAUUAAUGGCGAGAAAAAAGAAGGAUCUCGUGUCUCUACAUUUAGCAUAAGGUUAAGAUUUGUUUAAAUGUAUAUACUUGAAUGAUAAUCAAGUAACCUUGCCACAUUGUUUUCCAAUAGAAGGUUUUUGUUUAACUUGUCACAACCAACAAGUAAUAUGUAUGAAGAACAUAUUUGAGAAGCACUAGUAAGCUGUAAAACGAUUUCAUAGACCAUCUUAAUUGCGGGCAUUGUCCUUAAUCCGCGGGUGAUAAUUCAGCUCUCUGCUGUUUCCGGAGCCUCCAGUCUUAGAUAAUCAUAGAAAAGUCCACAAAGUGCAUCACCACCCCUAGCCUGUGAAAGAAAUAUGGAGUUAUCUCCCUUUACCAGGAGCGUUGAUGGGAUAUCGCCGCUGAAAAGCCGAUAGAGUCCAUGAACUCCAUGUCGACAAACUGCGUUAUCCGUCCCCAAGUUCAAAACUUGAAUCACCAGGUGUUCUAUGUCCAUAGCAUUAACAUGAACCUGCAGCACAGACAUUUUAUUUAUGUCAUCUGAGACAUUUUAUACUUUUCUCUUCUGUAACUUUUGCCAUCCAUACCUUCAGGUCCGAGCGGGUUGCUGAAGCGAUGGCCAGUCUGAACUUGUAUGUGCCGGUCGUUACAGAUUUGAGAUUGAACUUUAUUGUCCAUGUUGUUGGAAGGUAUUUAUUAUCUGCUCCCCUCCUGCAAAAUUCAAAUUACUUGUAUCAAUGCACACACUUUUUUUUUUCAUCGAGUAAAACUUGAGGAACAAACAUUUAGGUCUACGAAGAUUUAUGCUGCUUUUGUUGAAUAAUCCGCGAAGUUUCUGGUUUCCUGUUGCAUAUGAUAAGAUGAGGGAAACACCUGUCCACAUGAGCAAAAAACCAGUCGGUUUUCGGAUUACUGCUGCCUAUAGUGAAGGUCUGGUCAAAUUCAGGGUGCACAUCAGUGUAUCUGUCCCACAAGCCAUACUGUCUAUACCUGUAAUGUGAAACAUCAAGCAUGAAAUAAGGGUGGUUCAUUAAGUUUCAUUUUCGGGAAAGGAUGAAUUCACUUACUUCUCGGGGCUGUUCAGAAACAGCUUGUUCACGUAUAUUGGGUUCACAUCAGGAACAUAGUAAUCUAUGGCCGUCCUAUCAGGGUAGCCAAUCUCCCAUAAAGUUGGACCGUCUCUGAGGGGAACAUAGGUCAGGUUUCCGAGUUGUGUUUGUGAUCCUGAGUGGAAAAUAGGCCAUGUUUUCAAUUUGAUGUGUUUAGCUACCUGUAUUGAUAGAUCUAACAUUGAAAUGAAAUCCUAUGAGAAAGAAAAAGAACUGCCUCGUUUGCAGAAAGUUAGCUGCAGAAAUAUACCUGCAGAGAUUGUGAUACGUUCGUUGUCAAGGUAAUCACCUACAAAACCCGGGAUCCAGCCAUGGAGUCCGUAUACUCCAGGGAUAACAUUCUUGAUGGUGAAAUUCCCGAUGAUAUCUGUUUGUAUCCAAAACUGAUAGUCCUGCGUAGAAGUGAAAUGUCGAAUUAAGAAGGUUACUUUUGUCCCAAGUUUACAGUCUCUGGCAGUCUGAAUCGGUUAGUAAUUUACCUUGCUUUCUGUUUGCCAGGAUCCUGGAGUAGUUGCAACUGAUAGACCAACAUACGCGUAUUUAGCAGGAAUGAGAGAAUCCGAAACAUACCUGGAGUCAUGUACACAAUAAAAAAAAAUGCUACUAUUUAGCAUAGAACUGGCAAUACCAUGGAAGGGUUUGAUUAAACAGCAGACGCAAACAGUUGGUACUGACCUAUCCUGGACAAACAAUCUUCCUGAAACUGAACCACGCUCUUUAGCGGCAACAUAGUAGGGCGAUUGAACAAAAGCAUAAGGCCACAAUGUCUCUUCAAUCAGCCUCUAGGAUGAGCCAAGUACAACAUUAACCAGUUAUCAAAAGGCAACAUUUAAGGUUUUCAAUAGCAACGUUAAGCAUGGUUUGGCUAGAAUUGAUUCAGUACCUGUUUUUUCGCAUCAAUCCAUAAAUCGUGUGCCUUUGAUACAUCUGGGGUUGAGUUAAGGUAUACGAAAAAGGGGCCAAACACUUUUGUCCAAGUCUCCCCUUCUUCGAAAUGAGCUAAUAUAUCUUCGCCGAUAUAAUGAGUUCCAUGAAGCAUCUGGUGCACCAGAUAGACAAAAAAUUUAGCUGAUCCUCAACUGGAAAUGUCUUAUUAUUGAAUUUGAGUGAUAGACUUUUACAGCAAGGCAGAAUGGACCAGUGUGGACGGUAAGAUUUUGUUUCGUAGGACCGCCAUUUCGGAACUCCUGGCUGGGAAAGAUGAGCCAAAACCCUACAGUGGGGCCGGAACUUAUCCAUCCAUGGACUCCACUGUCUUUGUUGUCCAUCGAGUACUGAUACUUAUCAUCAACCUGCAUUCAAAGGCAUACAAAUAGCAGCACAAUUUGGAGUUCUGACGGAAUUCAACAUGGCAUAGAAGCAUUUUUCGCUGGUACGCAAUGAAUUAUUUUAGGUACACACCUCGCCUUUGAGAUCAGGAUUGAUGGGAUCUAAAAGCAAAACUGAUUCAGGCACGAUUAGUUGUUUGCCUCUUGGUGGAAGCACAUCCUCAGGCAUUGGCAUUAUCCUUUGUUUCUCAUCUGUUAUUGCCAUGUAGUGGAACCUAAUACAAGUUCAGUGAAUGUAAAAACAUAUAGACAAGAACCACAGACCUAGUUGUAGCCAAGUUAGUUAGAGUAGUGUGCUCUCCUUGAACUCAAAUUCGAAUCCCCUCUUUGUAGUUUAAAUUAGAAUAUCGCUCCAAUAAAAAUAACAUAAGAAAGAACCGAUGCACUUGGAAACUCUAAAUAGGAAUGGGUAGAUUUUACUUCUCUCUUCGCAGUUUAAACGCCAUCCUUGUCUGCGCAAGAUCGAAGGCAGGACAUCCAGAAGGCCGCUCAUAUAUUGCGUAAUUGUAGAAGCCUGAAACACCAGUCUUUACAAUGUACCUGAAGAAAAUUAGUGACUAUGAGUAGAAAACAAAAUAAACAUCGAAAACCUUAACAGCAUCAUACAACGAACGAAAUUAAAGAUCUGCGUUAAUGAAGUACAACCUUAUAUCCACACUUAGCGGCAAUUUGACGCCGUUAGCGGAUGAUGGAAUGAAGGUGUUCUUGAAUGAAACUUCUAAGCUGUCAUUGCUAUGAUGAACAACACUAUAUUCAGCUCCUUUGAGUCUGAAAAAUCGACAUGAUUCAGUCCAGUUCAAUAUAAAUUUAGACUGUUAAUUGCCUAUUUCUUGGGGUAAAAGGCAAGUGCAGAUAAAAUAAUGCUCAAGAAAAUAUAUCGCACGAGAGGAGAGCAAAACCAUACGGUUCAUAUCUGUUUUGGCCUCCUGGCAAACUCCAGUUGAUAUCCCAAUAUCUGCAAGUAGAAGAUUAGGCGGGAUUAGCUCUGCAAUGUCCGUUACAGAUAUUUACGAAUAUUAUCAGAUAAUCAUAUUGUUCAAAUAUACAUAUCAGAUAUUUGUAAAGGUGUUACCCUCUGCUGGUUUCAUUUGACUUGACAUCUAAAAGAUUGUCCAUUCCUCCAUAACUGAUGCCAGUUAAAUACCCUUGAGGCUUCAAGAUUGUGAGCUUUACCACCCCACUGUCCAUUACAACCUUAUAAGAAAAAUACCCAAAUUCAGAAAAAACAUAAAUAAAUAUAUAUAGGAGAGCGCGGACCGGCUUGUGACCACUCUACAUCCGAUUGAGGCACAUAGCCAACGCCCAUCCGCUUUCCUUCCGACAAUUUCAGUGUGCAUGGGAACAUGAACUUACAUAGGGACCUUGGUUCCUCAAUUUCAGUUUCAUCUUUGCCAUGGCAGGACACAGAUUAAAUUCUUCACCCUUUUCCUCUAACUUCUUAUAUUGUAUAAGAUUGUAAUACAGAAACUGGUUAUCAAUUUCUAAAUUAUGGUUGAAGAACAACCAGUCGUUGGUUACUAUGGUAUUUAAUUAAUGUUUAAUAACAAGAACAAGCAUUUCUAGAUUAUAUCACCAAAUUGGAAAAUUCCACAUAGUUGAACCAUCACGUAGUAAUGUGAGAAUAAUGCCAAUAAUGCUAAAUGAUUAUGUGUUCGUGUAGACGUAGAUUAGGUCAUGAGUCUAAUAAGAACAAUGUACAUGACUACCAAUUUCGAAAAUUAAAAUAGUUUAAAAUAUCACUGCAAACAAAAUAAAGUAUUAAUGAUGUUGCACAUGCCGCAAUGUGCUAAAGAAACCGUGUUUAAUCAUUUGGUGUUUUUAAUUUGAUUUGUCUGACUCAUCGAAACAAGGGAUUUUAAUUUGGAGGCAGAUUCUGUCCCUUCCACCUUCUGUGCCUCUGUUUGUGUGGUUACGGUUAAGUCACGUCAAUAUUUUAUAUCAUUAUUUUUUUUUGUCUUAUUAUCUCUAUAAAAAUAUAUGUAUAUAAUGUUGACAUGACUUAACUGUGAUUAUACAAAACAGGAGGGCGUGGGAAGUGGGAGGGCAGAGAAUCUGCCUCCUUUUAAUUUAUCUCUUGUCUGCAAAUGGGACUUAAAAAAGGAUAAUAUUUAAGUAAAAUAUAUUAUGCAAGUGGCCCUUUAUUAUAACGGUUUGUCUUUGCAUCACGCUAUGAGUUCGAACUCUGUUGACUUCCUAAUCUAACAAAUCUAUAAAAAAAAAGAAAAUAUAUUAUGGUAUAACAUGACAGCUCAUUUCAUUGUCUUUUAAGCUGCAGGUCCAGAACUCUAUAUAAACUACGGGUGCACGUGAUAGGGAGUAACCACAUAAAUCCAAUUCUAUUAUUUUACCCUAAUUCAGUAAAAAUAUGUAUUUAAAAAAAAAAUUCUUUAACCCUAAUUCAGUAAAAGUUUGCCCUAAAGUUUGGACAAGUUUUUUUAGUGUGACAAUCCUAGAGUUAUCACCAUACUCAUGUCAUAUACAAGUGGCGGAUGACUGUGAUAAGUAAAUUCUUUUUCUUCAACUCAUUGCUUCUUGGGUUUCAACUUUCAAACUAUUAGAAUCCUCCUCCACACUUUAUUGUAGAUUUAAUAUGCAAUAUCUCUUGCAAUAAAAAUACACUCGGGCUAUAAUAUUUAUAUUUAUUUUUAUCUUCAUGCAUAAGUUUUUGGAUAUGAUGUUCACAUUGAUAAUUGGUAUUAUCAAUCCUUUCACGCUAUAAUACAGAGAUAUGUUGAUUAACGCCAAAUCCUCGAUCAUUCAUGACAUAUAAUCUACAUUGUUAUAUUAUAAUACGUGAAUGAAUAAUACCACAUGAGGAUUUGGCACUGGACUCAACUUCAACGGUAUGACAGGUAGGGCUCACUCGAUUCAACGGUCCAUAAUUGGCGCAUCAAAAACUCAACAUUCACAAGCACCACUUCAUCUCACCAACUGACAUAAUUUUUACUUGUGACGGGAAUACAAGUGGUACACCACAUAUUUUAAUAGGAGUGGUGAAAAAUUAUAUUUUUUAAGUUAUUAAUUUUUUAGCACUCAUAUUCCACUAUAGUAACACAUGGUAUACCAACUCGUGUACCGGUAACACUAAAAAAUCUCUCCACGCAUUGGACCGAAAACCACUGACAGCUCACAAUAAGCCAUCUUCUACUGUUCUCUUGCUCGCUUACAAAAACAGAGCUAAAAGCUCUGCUCACAGAAGCACUGCCCACAGAAGCAGCACCACAUUGGUGAACAUAGAAAGAGAUUGUUUGAGAAAGAUUCACGGUUAGAUUUGGUCUUCACCAUUUCUACUUUGCAUGCUUUCUCUCUCUAUCUCUUUCUUUCUCUAGAUCUACUUUAUAAACAAAGCCACAUUCUUUCAAUAAGUUCUGGUUUUGCAGAGAAAAAUGAGAGACUGCAAGCUUCUUUCUUUUUCCAUUUUCUUGGUUCUUUUUCUCGUCAAUGGCGUCAAUGGCGAAGACCCUUAUAGAUUUUUCACUUGGAAAGUCACUUAUGGUGACAUUUACCCGCUUGGUGUUAAGCAACAGGUACAUCUUCAGCUUUUUCCAACAGUUCUUUUACUAAAUGAGGCAGAAAAGCCAUUAUCUUCAAAAGUGUUUUAUUUUUAAUUAAAAAAGUGCUUCUGCAGGGGAUCUUGAUCAAUGGGCAAUUUCCAGGGCCUCAGAUCGAUGCUGUGACAAACGAUAACUUGGUCAUCAGCGUCUUCAACUACCUACGUGAACCCUUCCUCAUUUCUUGGUAAAUAUACUCUGCUUCUGUCAUCUUAUCUCCCUAAUUUUGUUUGUUUCCUGAGAAAAUUCCUGCCCGAGAAACUGAAAGAAUAUCAUUCUGAAUCUGGGGUUCUUUUCCUUUCUCUGUUCUGGCAAAUGGGUUCUUUUGAAUAAAGCAUGUAAUUCCAAAUUUCUAAUUUCCUUUCUGUUUCCCUCCGCUUUCUCAGCUACCAAACAGAGUACCAAGAAUACAUUUUUAAGUCAAAACUUAGAAAGUUUUUGCCCAGAUCUAUGGCUUCGAAACUUUCUUAUCAGAAUAUUCUUCCACUUAAUUAUUUCACAAUGACUAAUAUCUCCUUGCAUACAUGCCAAAUAAGUAGAAAUCUCGCGUCUAUUAUGCAUGUGAAGAUGGGGUUAUUUUAGUAAGUUCAGCAAUAAAUGGUAGCUUAUGUACAGAAAAAAAAAAAACUGUUAAAAAAUAAUUAAAUUAAGCAUCUUUACGUUUUAUCUUUUUGUCGGUUUGGUUUUGUUUAAGUUAUGGCACAGACAUUCAUUGAGGAUCUGCCAUUGUUUAAGAAUGCAGAUUAAUGUUUAAAUCUCAGUUAUGAAAUUAAACCACCUCUUAACCUCUCAACCGUAUAAAAUGUGAGUUAAACCAGCUAAUUAGAUUGAUAUAAUUUUUUUCGUAAAUUAGAAUAAUUUAAAAUAGAAUAUCGCUUUAAAUUCGUUCAUAAUCUAUCCCAUGUUGCCUUCUCAAGUACAUGAGAAUAAUCAAAAUAUUAUAUUUGAGGCAACUGGCCUCGUGUGGUGAGAUCUGAUCCUUCACAUGCUUUAGAUCUCUCUCAUCCGCAGGACCACACCUACAUUUAUAUUCUAUGAACAAAGAGCUGGAAUCUAAGUUUACGCAGAUCUUGAUAGUGUAUAUUUCCGGUGUUCCUUCCAUACACUCGAGUUUGGUCAUCAUUUUCGUAAAUACCCUUAUGCUCGAGUUUAGUCGUUCUUUAUGUAAAUUAAAGUAGUACGUAACUUUGUAGUAUCGCCUUGUCAUGUCAAGAAAAAAAUAUGUGCAGACAUUGGCAUUCAAAUAAUGCAUUUACUAUUGAGCCCCACAAGCCACCAGCUACCCCCAAUCCCAAGCCAAACUAACAUUCAUGUCUAACUUUGCAUUCAGAGAGGUGGAGGUGGUUUCAGCCUCACAUUCAAUGUGUUAGAAAGAAACUGAAGCUUGGGAAGGGACUGUUAGUUGAAUGUACUAGUUAGUUUCUAUAAAAAUUAUUGUGUGGUAGUGGAAUACGAUUACAUGGUAUAACCAACUGACUGUUAUGAUAUGAGUGGAUGACAAGGUAUGAUGUUAACGAAUAUCUACGUAUACUUAAAUACCAGAUUGAUUAUACCAUGUAAUUGUAUUUGAGUAUCAGACUAGAAUUGUUCGAACUUUUGGACGGUAAAGUAACCCCUUUUAAACUUACAAAUGUUAAAUUUAUCUACGAUCAAGUUGCAUUUUAAUCGUAACCGUUGAAGUGACACAAUUUAGCUUAAAUCCGACUCUCAUGUCCUGUGAUUCUUCUGUAGGGAUGGCAUACAGCAGAGAAGGAACUCAUGGCAGGACGGAGUUUUUGGAACAACCUGCCCGAUCCCGCCGGGGAGGAACUUCACUUACAAUAUCCAAGUCAAGGAUCAGAUUGGCAGCUUUUUCUACUUUCCGUCCCUCCAGUUCCACAAAGCCGCCGGAGGGUUUGGUGGCAUCAGAAUCUGGAGCCGUCCUAAGAUUCCCGUUCCUUUCCCUACUCCUGCUGGAGACUUCACCGUGCUGGCAGGCGACUGGUUCAAGACUAAUCAUUAUGUAAUUAACCUACUAAACUCAUAUUUUGGUCACAUAAAACGUUGAAAUUCAGACUUUGAAUGUUCUGUUUUGGAAAUGUUAGAUACUGAGACGAGGCUUCUUGGAUAGAGGUCGAGCUCUUCCCAACCCUGACGGGCUUCUCAUCAAUGGUCGUGGGUGGAAUGGAUACACAUUCACCGUUGAUCAAGGUAUCCUCGAAUGAAAUUCACUUCUUCACUAACGUUAAUUAGGCUAGUUGACCAAGACAGUGUUGUAACCGUCUCGUUGAGCUUAUGAAUAAAGGCAAAUUUGCACCUCAUUGUUUGAACAAUUUGUUUUGCAGGCAAGACAUAUAGGUUUAGGAUAUCAAACGUGGGGCUUACGACAUCCAUUAACUUCAGAAUUCAAGGACACAAAAUGAAACUUGUUGAGGUGGAAGGAUCUCAUACACUGCAGAACAUGUAUGACUCCCUUGACAUCCAUCUCGGACAGUCCUUAUCCGUUUUGGUCACGGCUAAUCAGCCUGUGCAGGACUACUACGUCGUUGUGUCUUCACGCUUCACCCGCCAGGUACUCACCACAACAGCCGUUCUUCACUAUAGCAAUUCGCGUAAUGGAGUUUCGGGUCCUAUCCCUUGGGGUCCUACCACACAGAUUGCUUGGUCUGUAAGCCAAGCGAGAUCUAUAAGGUACAUUAUGAUUCUUUGCUAUAUUGUCUUUCCAAGCUAAUCAUGCAUUGUCAUGUAUUUUAACUCUGCUACAUGAUAGUGAAUGAUUAGUUUAAAAUACCAAUAAAUGGCAUUUCCGUUUCAUGGAAGAAAUUCUUCGUAUUUGUCAGGGAUUUUUCUUGGAUAUGAGAGUGGUAUCUUUUCUCACAUUGAUCAUUUCCGUGCUCUUUCGAUACAAACAGAUGGAAUUUGACUGCGAGCGGGCCAAGGCCUAAUCCGCAAGGCUCCUACCACUAUGGAUUGAUCAAACCAGCCAGGACAAUCAUGCUUGGAAACUCUGCUCCUUGGAUCAAUGGCAAGCAGAGAUAUGCUGUCAACAGUGUCUCAUAUGUUCAACCAGACACUCCUUUGAAACUUGCUGACUACUUCAACAUUCAGGGAGUUUUCAGCGUUGGAAGCAUUGCGACCAACCCCACAGGCGGAAGCGGCUACCUCCAGACCUCCGUGAUGCACGUUGAUUUCCGGGAAUACGUUGAGAUUGUGUUCCAAAAUUGGGAAGACACUGUGCAGUCAUGGCACAUUGAUGGCUAUUCAUUCUUUGUAAUGGGGUAAGAUCAUGCACAUAGUUUGGAUUUUUCUGUAAUUUCCUCAUUUCCAAGAACAGGCCUAAAUUAAAUCUUGGAUUUUUUAUGUUUAACUAAUUUUGAGAAUGGUGGGAGAAUCUGCAGGAUGGAAGGAGGACAAUGGACACCUGCAAGUAGAGCUCGUUACAAUUUGAGAGACACAGUUGCACGUUCCACAACUCAGGUAUGAGAAGUAUUGGAGAUUGAAUCAUACGUGAACAUUAUCACUUGGUGUUACAAAUUCACGUGUUAUAUAUAAUUUGGGUGCACCAGAAGAUUUUUAUACUUUAAGAUAUAGUAUGAAUUAACAUGCAUUUUUUAUAACAUAAAUUUAUUGAUUAUCUCACAAGUUACUACAUACCAAUGAAAAGUUACACCGAAUAUUGUAAUUGAAGUUAAUACUAAUGUUUGCUUAUACCAAGAUUGGGGAUGAGGAGAACGGCAAUCAUUUCAAUUCCUGACUUCUCCGAUGCUUACUAAUAUGCUUAAGGAAUAAAAAUUAUGCAAUUCCCACCUUAAAAUCACUAAUCAAACACUCUCAAAACCAGGGAUGAGAUCAUCUGUGGGAAAUAGUUGAUUUAAUUCUCAUUCCUUAUUUUCCUCUAUUUCGAAUUUCCCGAUUUUUGCUUCCAUUUUCUGAUUUCCUAUAUUCCUUAUAAGUAAAAACGCCAUAAUUAUUUCAUACAUGUAAUCCACCCCAACAUUGUUGGGUUUGUCUGAGAUAUUGGUAUUUCGGAUGCAGGUGUAUCCUAGGGCAUGGACUGCAAUCUACAUAGCAUUGGACAAUGUGGGAAUGUGGAACGUCAGGUCACAAAAUUGGGCGAGGCAGUACCUGGGGCAGCAGUUCUAUCUGAGAGUGUAUUCUCCUGCACAUUCAUGGAGAGAUGAAUACCCAAUUCCAAGAAAUGCCCUUCUUUGUGGAAGGGCGAGAGGCCGUCACACUAGGCCUCUUUGAAAUUCUGAAAUAUCCAAAACUGGUCGCCUUUUGGUCACGAGAGGGUGACAUAGUUUUAAGCUAAUUUAGGCGAGGACUAAGCGUAUUCUUGUGAGUUGUAACAGGUCACUUCACUGGGAGCUCCUCUUGAGCUUCCAGAAAUUUUCUUCUUUUUGUUCCAUAAUUAGCAUUACUAGAUGGGUUAUUUAUUUCAAUAACUCAGAGUAAUAAAGCUAUAUACAAUAUGCGUCCUAAAUUGAGAUUUAACAUAAAGGCUCAUAGCAAUGAGGGUUGGUUGAGUUGGUAGGAAUCAUUUUUUUUCGCUAGACCAAGAUCUAGGGUCAAGUCUUGUUGCUGGCAAUUCCUCUUGAUGGACAAUCUGUAAAAACCCUAAAAUGGUUACUUUUUGUUUUUGUUUUUUCCCUAAGCAAAAGAUGAGGGGAGAGAAAUGAUAGUGUUGAGGGGUACACAAACUAAAAAAAUUAUUUUCAAAUAGCUAAAAAUCAGAAUUUAAUUAUAUAUUCUUUUAAAGAGAAUUUAGCAAGGCCCUACAAACUUAGGUUUUUAUUUCAGUUUUAUCUUUUCAACUUUUAUUUGACCUUGAAUCCUCCUAGUGUUAGAGUGUGUCAAUUUGCCUUUACAUAUUCUAAUUUUUCCAUCGUAUAGAGUUCUACUUUCAUCCUAAUUUUAAAGCUAGACAACACAAUAAAAUUGAUACAUUAUAAAAAGUUAUGCGAACUAAUAACAAGAUUCAAAUUCGACAGAGCAAAUGGAAUGGAUAUCAUGAAUUCAAGGGGCAUAAUUAUUACUAAAAUUCUCCCCAUGAAAAAGAAAAGAAAGAUAACCAAAUACCAGCAUGGACGGUAAACCCUAAACCCUAAAUGCAGCAAUGCAGUAGCAUCGACACAAAAGGGUUCUGUAUUUAUACAUUUACAAAAGAAAAUUUCUUUAUUUAUUAUUUUUAAAGAAUAAAAAAAAAGAAAAAGAAGAAGAAAAAAUGGCUUUAAUUGCUUAGAAUGUCACACAACACUUAACGUCCAUGCUUCUGCGGCUCUGCCAAUGCAUGACACUGCCACAGAAACACUAUGAUGAGAGAGAGAGAGAGAGAGAGAGAGAGAGAGAGUAUUCUUCCAAAUUUGAAACCGCCUUCUCUUUCUUUUGGAUGCUGUUACUGAACGAGUACGGCCAUGGAGGCCACGUUCCAGCCAAGUCAUGAAUUUUGUUUCAGCCAUUUUGUCUGUGUUCCAAACAAAUAAAUUCAAAUAAAUAAAUUAAAGAAAUCUUUUAAUUAAUUCCAUCCAAAUUUCACAACCCUAACCCUAACUGCACUCUGCAUGCAACGCAGAUGUGCAUACAUAACCCCCAUUAAAUGACGUUUUCAUCCCCAACGUGUCCCCCUGCUAGCAAUGCCCGACAUGCGAAGCAUGUCUACGUUUCAACUUUUAAUAUUAUUUCUCCCUCUCUCUCUCUCUCUCUCUCUUCCUCCUCUCAAGCUUAUUCUUUAUUUUGUGUUCAUCUAUUUCUAUGGCGUGCUUUGGCAUUUGUGUGUGUGUGAAUGAGGUUUAGGUUCCUUCCUUUUGCUUGCGUUUUAGAAUUGAGAGACUUUGAGUCAUCCAUUAAUUAAUUAGUUGAACAAAUAUCAGUGUGACUUUGUGAAGGAGUGAAAGUCUUUGUCGGCUGGAAUUAGGGAGAGGGGGCUUGACUCAGAGUAUACUUGGUAGGAAUUUUGACCACGUUAUUAGUAUGACAUAUUUUAUUACCGUGAGAGUUAUUUAUUAAUUUUUAUUUAGCUUCACGUUAAUCUUAUUCGUUAUAUGAGUUAUUCUAAUCAGUCAGUCUCAGUAAAAUGUUUUCUCGCAUUAUCCAAUUUCACAUUAAUCUUGCCCGAUAUAAAAGUUACCCCAAAUUAAACGACCUUAUCAAAAUUUUCUAUCACUUGACUGGUGAGGAUUGAGGACGGAGUAGAGGUUUGAAAACUUAUUGGGUGGUUUGGUUGGUAUAUGUUUCCCUUUGAAGAUGCAAUUGCUUAUGUCACCCAUUAGACUCAUACAUGUAAGUUAUAACGGAUGUCUGCCAUUCCUUUGUUUUCUUGUCAACCCCGAUUUAUUUUUCUUGUUAUAACAUACGUUUGCUUUGUUGAUUCCCAUACCAUAUUGUAUUCUAUUCACAAAUUUAUAUUAUAUAUUGACUUGACUCUACUUUUUAAUCAUUUCUGUUUUAGGAUAAUACAGUAUGAUACAACAAGUGUUUUGGAAGUUUUUUUUUUUUUUUGAAGUAUUUAACCACUUGUAUUAUUACACUUUGUAUAUCGAGCCGUGUUCCUGGCACACUGAAAAAUUCCUUCUGUUUUAAAUAUAUAUUGCUGGGCAGCUCCAGAAACCUAUAAAUAAUGGUUUUCCUUGUAUUUUUACCAAGUUAUAAUGUGUAAAAAGACCCAGAGAAUGUGUUAUCUAGGUAGUUACUCAAUCAAGAAAUAUUAUAUCACCAAGAACUUUAAGAUUGAAUUAUAUUAUAUAUGGGUUUUUCACAUUUCACCUUUCAUUUUCACCCAAUCAUGAAGGCUUUGAAACAUAAAACCACAACCUGCGCAGGACUGCAAAGUCUGAAAUUCUCUGUGGGCGUAUUUUUUUUUUUCCUUUUUUCCAAUUGAGACUCCAAGGACUAAAAAUUUUGUGUCCCUUUGAGCCAGAGAAAGCUGCCACUAGAAGACACAUUUCAGUAACAGAGUCCAACUGGUCAUGUUUGUAUUCAUAUAUAUUCCCUGAGACCCCAUCUCAUAUAUAGCUAGCUCUCUCUUUCUACAACAUGAAAGAUCAGGCAAUGGAGAGGAUUGAAGGAGAUGAUCACCAUCACCAGAGCUCCUCAUUUCUUAAGAGGUCUCCCUGUUCUUCUGUUGACAAUGGUGAUCAGAAACCCCACACGUCAUCAUUUGACGACGGUGAUGGUGUUACUCCUAAUAGAAGCACAGCUCAAGGGAAGCAUCUAGUAGUCCACGGCUACCACCAUCAUUUUCCGGCCGCCGCCGGUCAUCGUCAGAUGAUCGGCAGCCUGUUGAAAUCAUCCCCGUCGUCAUCGACUCCGGUGAGACCUUAUGUUCGGUCCAGAAUGCCUCGGCUUCGUUGGACGCCUGAUCUUCACCGCUGUUUUGUGCAUGCAGUUGAAAGGCUUGGCGGAGAACAAAGUAAUUUUAGCUUCUUUCCCUACACACACGGAUAUAUAUAUAUAUAUACACACACACAUAGCCUAUAUAUAGAGUAAAGUUUUAUUAAAAUGUUAUUUUGGUGUUUAAUUAAUUACAGGAGCCACUCCAAAGAUGGUUUUACAGAUCAUGAAUGUGAAAGGCCUUAACAUAUCACACGUUAAAAGCCAUCUUCAGGUAAUUGGCGAUCUAGCUAGAUAGCUACAUCUUGUUAAGCGUAAAAAUAAUCUCUCUUGUUAAUUUGGUAUUUUCUACUUAUUUAUUUUGGAGAGGGAAUAGCUUAAUUACUUUGAAAUUUCUUUUUUCAUUCUUUCUAACGUUGAGGUUUUUGACUAUGGACAGAUGUACAGGAGUAUGAAGCAUGAGCAAGGCAUACAAGGUACACAUGUACAUACAUGCAUGCCCUCCCUCCUUUUCACUCUUGACUAAUUUUCAUAAUUAUUUUGGUCAUUUAAUUUUAUUGCACAAUAUAUAUACAUAUAUAUAUAUCUAUACAUAUAUAUUAUGUAUUAUAUAUUCCCUUCAUCAUGUAUUAUAUACAGCAACAUAAAGUAUUUUUGUAUGAGAUGUGAAUAUAUAAAUAUAUAUAGCCGAUUUACUCACAAUUUCUCUUGAUUUGUAAUUCCUAGGAAUAAUAUGUGUAAGAUUUUUCUAUGAUAAUUUGGUACCUUCAAGAAUAUUCAAAAUUCAAGAAAACCUAAUUGAUUUAAUUACAGCAUAAGUUUCUUGUCUUUUUCUCCUUCUCUAUUUUUCAUUUAAAAAAAAUGUGUAAUCAUAAAAAAUACUAUAAUUCUCAAGCUCUAGCCAAUAAUUGAAUUGACAUUUUGUUGCAGCAGCUGCUUUGGCAGCAAAGAAGAAUGGUAUGUUGCAGGUCUCUGAGUACUCAAACAACUCAAACUUCUUAAAGCCAAUCGAUAUUGCUCAACCUGUUUACCACCAAAAGAAAGACUUGAUGAAGAAAAUGUACAACCAUCGACCCUGCCAAAGCAAUGAAACUUGUUACAUUGAAGGCCUUGACAGGAACACCAGUCCUCUGGCGAAAUGGUAAUUGUAAAUUAAUUAAUUAUGUUUUAUCUCCCUAAUUAACAUUAUUAGUUAUGCGAGAUUUAUAUUCAUGAUUUUUACAGGAAGGAUGAAACGAAGCCAUUAGUACUACCCUAUCAAGCACCAAGUUCUUUCAUCGUAGACAAUGAUCUGCUCAAAAGAUGCACUGAUAAUAUUGGACAAGUACUCUCUCUCUCCCCCUCCUAUGACAUUCUGGCUCUGAACAGUCCUUUAAUAUUCCAUUCCAUAUAUAUGUCUGAAUUUUCAGGAGAGCAAUCAUAAAGAAUUGGAAGAUUUAGGCAGUACCAAAAGCGAAUAUGAUGCAAGAAUGUCUCUAUCAGUCAACGCGUCAUCAUCGAAAGCCUCUCGUGAGCUGUUGAGGUUCAGCAAAGCAGCUGGGAAUUCAGAUGCGAAUGAUGUCUCUCUUGAGCUCACUCUUGGUACUUAAAAUCAUCAUGCACAUUUUUAUGCAGACAAUGUAGAAACUUGAAAAAAAAGUGACUCUAGAGUUAAUUAGUACCUCUUUUUCAGUAUUCUCCUCCAAUAUAUGCUUCAUGUGCAAUUAGAUUAAUGACCGGAUACCUUAAAUUGACACUAGCACUAACAUUUAACUGUACGAAAUGGAGUGAGUGAAAGGCAUGAGUGGCUAAUAACCUAAUUAGUCACUUAUAUGCUUUUAUGCACCUUAUUUUGUACAACUAAUAUCAGUAGUUAUUGUGUCAAUUUUUUUUGUAGUGUAGUGAUCCACAAAUAGUUCUGUGCAAACAACAUGACUUGAAAAUUUUCAUUACAAAUUAACAUCACAAAACAUGCAAUGUCAAUGGUGUGAUUUUACAUUUGACUUUCAAACCACGCGUGAUACAAAUUCAAUAACCUCUCUCAACUACAUUAGGGAUAAUAGACGUUAGAAAUGGAAAGAAAACAUCCAAUUCUCAUGCAAACACACAAACAAUACGUGGGGUUGUUGUGUUGUUGAUAAACCAAAAAUAUAGGUUACUCACGUACAUGAAGUGGAUCUCCCUAAUUUCAACCUUCAUCUUCUCUAGUCUUGUUCUUCAACCUAUAAAUUCAGUCGCCCAACCUGAAGUGGAAUGUCCCAAAUCGAAUACACACAAAUCUUUAGCUUACUUAUUACUCCUCACCUAAGAACUAAUAGCUUGAGAUCAUGGCUGCUACUAAGGUUUUGAUCAUGUUGGUGCUUUUGGGUGCUCUAGCUACACUUAGUAGCACCACGGAGGCUGGGAGGGACGUUGCAAUGAACAACAAGGGUGGCGUCGGCGGUGCAUUUAAAUUAGAUGAUGAAAAGACGUAUGCAUUUUUCCAUCACAAGUUUCCUGGUUAUGGAUAUCCAUAUGGUAAAGGAUUUGGUUUUGGUGGUGGGUUCGGAAGUGGAGUAGGAGUAGGCUAUGGUGACGGCGUUGGUGUAGGUACCGGAGCUGCAUCGGGGGCUGAAUCCGGAGCUGGAGCUGGGGCUGGAGCUGGAGCUGGAACGGGGGUGGUUGAAGGGCAAGGAGCUGAUGGUGGAUCGCCUUGAGUAUACUAUGUAUACAUGGUUGGUGUACUAGAUAUGGAAUAAUUAAUUAAGUUACCCAAUUUGAAUUUUCCCUGUUUUGUUCUUAAUUUUUGUUUUGUUAUGGCAAUAUUAAAUGAGAUUGAUCUUGGAGUUGCACAAAACAUACACUUGUUUACACUCUUUAAUAUAAGUCCUUGCUAUUGUAUGUGAGACUUUGUAUUAGAGAAUCACAAUGUUUAAUGAGGUUGCAAUUUUUUUUCACAUCACACCAUGAGCUUUCAAAAUUAUAUUAACUCAUAUCUACAUGUUGUACAAUUGUCUAAUUCGUCGUAAAAUUGAUGACUGACUAGCAUUGCAUGUAAUUUCUUUAUGAGUUGACAUAGAAGCUACACUUAUAGCAUAAAACUAAAUGACUUGUGGAGUUUUGGCCUCUCAUCUCCACCCCAAAACGACAACUAUUCAUCAAUUUCUAUCUCCAUUGAAACCUACGCCUCUUAGAAACAAGUAACCCAAUUACCACAUCAUCAAUUAAAUGCUGAUUCAUAUGGUUAAAUAAAGAAAACAUAAAUUGAUACGAUUUGAAAACACGGUGCAUUUGAAGAAAAGUAAAAUCUCUCAUUUAGAAAAUCAUCUAAAACGUAAGGAGUCACAAGUUGACCACUUCUAUUACCUUUUACAUUCUUAUUGUAAUUAAGUUUCCUAAAACAAAGCAUUAGUCCAAAAUCAACAUUGCGUGUCAUGGACAAGGUUCUAAAAAACGCUAGGCGCUAGUCAGGCGCCUAGGCCGCCUAGGCGGAUUUAGGUAAAUUUCUUGUAUAUCUUGUAAAUAAGUGCAUAUUGACACCUAAAAAAAAACUAUAUUUGUAUGGAUAAUAAAAUAAUGAUAAAAUACAAAUUAGGUACACUAGGGCCGCCUAGGACAGCCUAGCCCUAGGACCGCCUAGGACAGCUAAAAUACAAAUUAGGCGGUCCUAGGCUGUCCUAGGCGGCCCUAGGCAGUCCUAGGCGGCCCUAAAUUAAGUUUCCAUAAGUAUUGAAUGAACUUGUAGUAAAUCCAUCAUUUGCAAAUUAGAUACACAAUUUCCAUAAGUAUAUCAUCAUGAAACCAAAAAAGAAAAAAGCACGCAAUUAAUAAAAAAUUAAAAAAAAAAAACCUCCUAGGACCGCCUAGGACUGCCUAGGGCCGCCUAGGAUAGCCUAGCCACCUAGCCCGCCUAGCUGCCCAGCCCGCCUAGCCCGCCUAGGCCCAACCCGAUUUUUCCUCGCGAUUUGCCCAAAAACGCCUCGGUUGCUAGGCGCUCAGUGCCUAGGCAGCCGCCUAGGGCGUUUUUUAGAACACUGGUCAUGGAUCCUAAGUUUACAUGAACACAACAGGAAUACAAAACGGGCAAAACCGAAUCCGACCCACAGAGUGAGUGAAGAAAGCGAUAUGAUCAUAGAAUACAAGGGGAUUGGGGUUUAUUUUGUCAAGUUGUGCUAUCACCACUCACUAACGAUGGCGUGCUGUCUCGAUUUCGAUUAGGAAGGGAAAACCCUCCUCCACCCACUACAUACAUACCCUCCCACCAACCCUUUUCAUUUUUUCUUUUUUCCUUUAUAUUUUAAUUUCUCUGUCUGUGACUAUCUCGUACUUGCACUCAGAAAUAUAAAAAGGCCACCAUUUUCUGAGUUUGGUAUGCUCUUUUGGGCUCUCAGUCUCAGAUUUGCUUGUUUCUGAAGAACUACAGAUAACACAGAAGAUAACCCAUCUGAGCAUGUGAGUUUCUUGUUCUCUCUCUCUCUUCAUGUUCUGUAAUUGCAUCUCAUUGGGUAUGUUUUUCUGGGAAUGUUUUAUUGGAUGCCUCUCUCUCUCUCUCUCUCUCUCUCUCUCUCUCUCUCUCUCUCUCUGCAGAUUAGAUAAUGUGAGAUUAGGAGAUCUGUGUGAGAUUCAAUUGUCUUAUUGUUCUUGUAAUAGAAUCUGAUUGAUUUCUAGCAUUUUUUUCAGUGGUUUAAAACUUGUUAUGUUGCCUUGGUGGAUUCUCAAAUGCAAAGUUUAAAAAUUGUAUUGUAAAGAGACCUGCUUGAUCAAUUCCUCUGUGUUUUUAUACCAUUUGGAUGACUUUCGACUUCGAGGUUUAAAAAUUUGGUACGUAAGGGUAAUGUCUCGAUGCAACCACACUAACAAAACUUGUAUGAAAUGCAAUGCAAUGCAACAUUUUCGAUCGAUUUAUCUCCGGUUACUUUCUUCGUCACAGCAACUAAUGACAACAAAGGCUAACCGAGUGGUGAUUAUUGUUGUUUUUGAGUUAUGGGGGUUGGCUUGAACUUUUGGUGCCCGUUUAGAAUAUGUUCGGUUUGCAGGACAAGUUAUGGAGGCAUAUCAUUUCUAGUAAAGCAGACCUAUCUCGAGUUUGUAACACGAAGCUAAAGUCACUGAGAUUGAUUAUGUGUCUCAGAUAUUUCUGCUAAGAUGAGAGGAGCAAGUUUGUGGCAGCUUGGCCAGUCAAUCACCCGGCGUAUUGCUCAGGGUGAUAAGAAGGCUGUAGCUCGUCGAUACUUUGCCUCAGAAGCUGAGCUAAAAAAGACAGUCCUCUAUGACUUCCAUGUUGCAAAUGGCGGUAAGAUGGUGCCUUUCGCUGGAUGGGGAAUGCCUAUUCAGUACAAGGACUCAAUCAUCGAUUCCACCAUAAACUGCAGGCAGAAUGGUAGUCUGUUUGAUGUCUCCCAUAUGUGUGGGCUGAGCCUUAAGGGGAAGGAUUCCAUAUCUUUCCUUGAAAAGCUUGUCAUUGCUGAUGUUGCUUCGCUUGCCCCUGGAACGGGGACACUCACUGUCUUUACAAAUGAGAAGGGAGGGGCAAUUGAUGACUCCGUGAUUACCAAGGUUACUGACGACCACAUAUACCUGGUGGUGAAUGCUGGAUGUAGGGAUAAAGAUCUUGCUCACAUUGAAGAGCAUAUGAAGGCAUUCAAGGCUAAAGGGGGAGAUGUCUCGUGGCACAUCCAUGAUGAGAGAUCUCUUCUAGCUCUCCAGGUCAAUCCUUUGAUUCAAAUAUUCACUCAUCUUUGUUGAUUCAUAUUGUUAUUGUACUGAAUCUGCCAUAUACUCGUGUUUUCAAGAUAUUCACUUGCCCAUUUGAUAGAACUGGCGUGUGUGAUUGCGGUGUUGCAUACUGCAAAUUUGUCUGAUUCAACUGCAUUUGAAUUUGUAAUUGUCUGAUUCAUUUACUGCUCCUUUUCUCCUACAUAAAAAAAAAUUCAGUUUCAAAGAAAUUCAAGCUGCAAUUAGAAGAUAGGUUGUUUAGUUCAAUUGAAACUUAUUUGUGUUGAUUUGACCAAUAAUUCGAUCAGUUAAAACUGCUGCAGUUACGAUAAUGAAGUAGGCUCACAAUUGGACACAGUUUGAUUUUGAUUCAAUAGCUGAUCAAAAUAUUACUUGAGAGUAACACUAGGAGUUUUUUUUCUCUUUUUUCGAGCAGGGUCCUCUUGCUGCCCCAACCCUUCAACACUUGACAAAAGAGGAUUUGAGCAAGUUAUAUUUUGGAGAGUUCCGAAUUUUGGAUAUCAAUGGUGCACACUGCUUUCUUACAAGGACUGGGUAUGUUUCCUCCCAUCUCUUUUGUGGUUUUUUCCAAAGCAAGCAAUUUACUUUGCACAGUGUGGGGAUUAUUGCAACGUUGCCGUCUGCGAAUUCAGCUGAUGACCCUUGGUUUAUAUCAUUUUAUGGUUUUUUGUGGGUGCUCAGACUCUAGUUAGUCAUUUCUCUUUGCCUCGUAUGCAUUCAUGUAAUUGUUAAGAAAAUGAUUGAAGAUGAUGAGUGAAGCAAUUUUAUUCUGUUAUGUGCUCUUCUUUGGUGAUACAAGAAUUUGCCAUUUCAACUGCCUUAUUGGAGUGAGCGUGAUUGACAUUGGAUUGCACUUUUCACUGAGAAUUUUAGGUACACCGGUGAAGAUGGAUUUGAAAUCUCGGUUCCUGAUGAGAAUGCAGUGGAUCUUGCCAAGGCAAUCUUGGAGAAAUCCGAGGGGAAGGUGAGGCUGACAGGUCUGGGUGCUCGUGACAGUCUCCGACUGGAAGCUGGGUUGUGUUUAUAUGGCAAUGACAUGGAGCAACACACAACACCUGUGGAGGCUGGACUCACAUGGGCCAUAGGGAAGAGAAGAAGGGCAGAGGGCGGCUUUCUUGGCGCUGAGGUAAUACUCAAGCAACUCGAGGAAGGUCCUAAAAUCCGGCGUGCUGGUUUCAUCUCAUCAGGUCCACCUGCUAGAAGCCACAGCGAGAUUCAGAACGAGAAAGGUGAAACCAUUGGGGAAGUCACAAGUGGAGGAUUUAGCCCCUGCCUGAAGAAAAACAUAGCGAUGGGUUACGUGAAGUCUGGAUCACACAAGGCCGGAACCAAAGUUAAGAUCAUUGUCCGAGGAAAGGCUUAUGAUGGAGCUGUCACGAAAAUGCCUUUCGUACCUACAAAAUACUACAAGCCAACAUAAUUCAAGCGUGGUACAUCAUCAACGGGUUUCUAUUCGGUUUCCCUUUUGAUUUCUUGAUAAAACUUGACUGUUUCUGUCAAUGCCAAUUUCCAUUUUCCACUUGCUUAUGAAUCUGGAGUGAAAUGGAAUACAUUUUUAUCUUCAAGGUAACAUAUUUACAUGGUAGAUUCUUCAAAUCGAGAUCCUCUCUGGAUCUCGCAGUCCAGAGGCUCCUAUUAGGCCAUCUUACUAACUCACCUCACACAAACCAAGAAUUCGAAUCUCACUCUCUUUCUUGGAUGGUUCGAAUUAUUUGGUCCGUUGGCUCCGGACUGCGAGGUCCGGAGAAGAUGUGAAUUCAGGUUCUUCUUGCCGACUUGGAUGAACUUUUACUGUAGUUAUUGAAUGUUGCACAUAAAAAAUUAACGUAAAGAUACUAUUUUUUUACUUUGACCAAAAGAUAACAUAAUGAACUGUGAGAUUAUAUUGACCAGAAUGUCGCUUAUCAAAGUCAACCAAUCAAAGGUAAGGCAGUGCCCCAAAGUCAACAUUUCAGGUCAAUCUAAGCCGUCUAAUCUAGGCAGUUUUCUGGUAAGCAUGAUCAGAACUCAGAACGUCCUCCCCCAACUAGGGCAUGAAAAUUAUGUUUAAAAAGUCAAUAACACUAAUUAAGCGCAAAGCUGGGUUGUUUGACGCCAAAUAAAGCCUAAUUAGACGAAUUAAGAAACAAAUUGUAGUGUGAAAAUUUGAGUGUUUACAUUAGAUUUUGUAUGUUACACCAUUGUACAAAGAAUCAAAUGAAUUGCUAAAUUCUAAAGUAACUAAAAGAAUCAAAGAAUUUUUCCUUUCUUUCUGUUUGUACAAAAUCUGAUGAACUACUUAGAAAAGCUUGCAACCGAAUUCGUCUAUUGGUUCUCCGUUCGAACGAUACAAAGCUGAUUUCGAUGCAAGUUCUCUGAGUUGCUCCAAGCUUCUUCCCAACUGCAUUGCAACCUUCAUUUCGAAAAUCCCCCCAUUUUCUCUCUUCUCCAAGUCUUGUUCUCCAAGUGUUGCUUCAAUUGAAUCUUCCAACUUGUUAAAGAAGCCGGCGCAGUUUCUAUACAUCUCAAAUACCAUCCCUACUUGCGCGCCAUGCUGAAAAGCAUUCACUAUGCUAGCCAACGAGCCUGCAGCCACUGCUGCAACCGCGGCAGUGGCUGAUCCAUGGCCUACAAAAGCGGAUCCAACAGCCGCAAUCCCAGUAAGCACAGGGCCCGAAACUGCCAAAAUCUUGUUGAUCUUUAGAACCAAGCUCCCUAAUCUCUCAUAGUCUUCAAUGUCCUUGCUCUUCACAACUUGAAUAAUUUCUCUCAUUUCACUUUCAAGUUCUUCACUCCAUCCAUUCACAUUCUUUCCCUUCUGGGAUUUCAGUUUCCUUGGAUUUUGGGAUUGAACAACAUUUCUAGGCCACCAAACAGCCGGCUCAAAUUUUUUGGGGAAUUUUUCGAGCAUGGCACCAAGUAACGGAAGAGGGUAAGCUUUGUCAAGAGCCAAAACCUUCUCCAUUGUCUCCUUCACAUCUUUCUCAGUAGGAUCACGAAGAGCAAACACCGUCUCAAUUUCACUCUGGAGCUGCCUGAACAACCUCGUAGCGUUGCGCUGCUCCUCGGCGAGCUGCGAAGGCUGGAUCUUGUUCAUGAUAAGCAGCAUUCCGGUGGCUGCGGAAAACAAAAUAGCCGAUGAAAUGUUCAAUGCCAAAACGGACGUUCCAGCAGCUGCAUUAACUCCGGCCAUGAGGGAAGCGGAGAGAGUGAUCAUGUUGAUAGAGCUAAGUAAGAGUGCGUUCCAGUUAUUGCGCUGCUCGCCAAUGUUUGCGUGCAUCUCCACUCUGUCCGCCACCGCCUCUAAGAGCGCGUAGAGCUGAGCUGUGGAAACUGUAGGAGUUGCUGUUGCUGCAGACUGAUUGUUAUUAUACAAAUCGAUGUUUUCGUGUUUCAGAACUUGUUCCUUCAACUGGAGGCCUUCGAGGACGAGCUUCGUCGUUUGUUUGGGGACAGUGAAGCGGACUCUUGGGAGCUUGGGGACAUGAAUGGCGGCAUUUAUGGUUCUGUUUGAGGAAGAACAACAUGAGGGAGAAGAGAAGAGGAGAGAUGAAGUUUGGAGGGAAGCCAUUUGAUUGGUUGGGGUGCUGUGUUUUGUUAAAGUGUUGAGACCAGAUGAUCUGAGGUGGGUUUUCAGUUCGGAGGAGGAGGAGGAGAGGAGAGAGUUGGGAAUGGAGGAAGAGGGUGAGAUGUGGUGGGUAUAUAUAUGGAGAGAGCCGAAAAGCGAAGAAGGGGUCAGAUUUGGAAAUUAUUGACUGGACUUGGCUUAUUGGCUGACCUGUUAGCUGCAGCGUGACCCAUUCCCUUAUUUUUUAAUUUUCCUCGUCAAAAUUUGGUCCACUAUUUUGCAUUGCCUUCACUCGUUAUCUCUCUCUCAUUUCAUGCAAACAUGUAAGUACGUAUUAGCAUAGGUAAGAAUUUCAAACACGAUACGUUACACGACUUAAAAUUUAUACUAAUAUCACAUGAUUAACAUUGUUGUGUCAAUUGUUAAAUUAUUGUACAAGACACUUGUAUGUCGUCAAUAUAUAAUGUAUUAUUGAUAUCAUGUCUAUAUUGCAGGACAAAAAAUAACAAUCAAUGAACAAAGUUCAAUAAAUUGGUGCCAUGUGAGAUAUGAAAUGAAAGUUCACGAAAGAAAGUAAUACAAUUACAACAGCAGAGAGUAGCAUGACAUUGUGUUAUUAUGUUUUUUAUUUUAUUUUAUUUUAUGGUAUUUUACAUAUCAAUAAACAUGUGGAUUAACACAUAAUAUAAAGGAGUAAACCAAAACAUCGACAAUACCUGUGUUCACCACUAAUUAAUUUAUAUUUGAAUAGACCGAUAGCAUACGUAAUUAACAAUUUGGUUUUAUUAAUCUAAAGUCCAACGUACAAGUUUCUGACCUCUAAUUUGAAGUGGUCCGUCUUCACCUGCAUGCUAUUUUUUGGGUGGACCGAGUGUCCCCUCCCAACUACUAGUUUUCAAACCUCAACUAUAUAUUUUACGGAUAUUCUAGUUUUAUAAUUGGCGUAUUUUUCUUUCUGUUUUUCUUUAUUUAAUUUGUCACUUAAACAAUCCAUAGUGGAGUGGUGGCCUCUAUUAUAUUGUAACUAGAUCCUCUCCGGACCCUCGGAUCAAUAAUCUUAAACCGUUCAGGUAAAACUGUGCGGCUCAAAGUGAAUACCUCACCCACGCCAUCGUGAUCGAAUACCAAGAUAGGCACGUACUAUAUGAAGGUGGACAUGUACAUAUAAGACACACUAUCCCUUCUCGGUUGGUCGAUGUGAGAUGUUACAUCAUCCUUGUGCUCUUUCCCUUGUCUCAGAAAACCUCCAUGAAAAUCUUUCAAGUUUUCUGAUUUACUGUCCCAAUAUAUUGGGAACUAGAUUUUACUCAAAAGAAAAAAGAGAGAUGCGUAGAGGCCUGAAGCUUCAUAGAAAUCCAGAUCUGAUGACGGUAAUGUGUGGAGAAGGAGAUAGCGACGGAGGGAGAGAGUAGUUGUUGUGGGAGUUUGGCAUGUUUCUUUUGCUCUGGAUGCUCCAGAGAAAACUGGAUUUACGUCCCUAUUAUAUUAGCUCAUUAAUACUUCAUGCACAUAUUUCUUGGAUAAUUAUUGUGCUUUUUUAGACCCGUUUUGCUAUCAUUUUCAAGACAGUUAAUGACCGUCAUCUUGUAAGUAAUAGUACAUUAAUAUUUGACAAAAAAAUGUCAAAUUCAACGAAACAAAAUAUCGUCAAUAUUAUGCGAUGAAGAAGUUUAAUAGCUCAAAUGUAAAAUGUUUGUUUAUUUUAUUUUUGGUUCACAUUCCGUCCACCGUUGCAAUUGAUUCACUCUCACUCAUGCAAUAUUUGAAUAAUUAUCUACCCUUUGUUUUGGUCAAUUUCAGAAUUUUACAUGCAAUUUGAAGAGAUCUCUCUUCGUUACUUGAUUUUUCUCGGUCAAUAUUAAUAAACUUGCAAUUUGAAGAGGUCUCCCAGUCACUAGUUUUCAAACCUCAACGGAUUGGAUUCUAAUUUUUUAAACGCAAUCUUUCUUCUUCUGUUUUUCCUUAAUUAUUAUUAUUUUUUGGUCAAAACUUGCGCUAAUCUCAUUUCCUUCACUUGAAUUGAAUCGGUAGUGGAGCUGUGGCUUAACUUACCAUUUCAUGCUUUGAGUUUAUUAACUCAUGAAUGUUUUUAUCUACAAAUUACGGUCUCCUAUAUAUACAAAAGUAAUUUACUAAAAUUUAUAUAUUAUAUUUAGAGAACUCUUUUUUUAUCAAUUAAAAGAGAAUGAAAACAUAAUUUAAUCUCGUUUCGGGCUCAAUUUCUGUGACACUGGUGAAUCGCACGAUGGUGAACAGAAGAGGCUGAAAUGUCUUUGUGAGUUUUUUCGGUCUCUGAAAGGGAAACUGCUGUGAUGAAGCCACCAACUAAAUUUUUUUUUUAAAAAAAAAAAAACAUAAUUUAAUCCCAUGUACAUAAUGAAUAAAAAUAUCAAAAAAGAAACAUUAAGAUAAUUUUACACAAACACAACUGGUCUCACACAAAUUUUCCGCAUGAUAGAAGUUUAAAAAAAAUUGAAAUACGAAGUAAACAAAAAAAAAUAUUAUAAUAUUUCACCUUGAAAUUGAGUAACAUAUAUAUAUAAAUAAAGAAUUAUAUUUAUUAUAAUUUAACAAAAGAUAAUAAAAAAAUAUUGAUAUGAAUAAUCAACGGACCUAACCCAACAGAAAAUUGACUAAACCCAAUCAUUCCUCUCAAAAUUGGAAAUUUGUAACGAAGAAAUUCUGAUGGGGUCGAUUGCAAAGAAGGGGUUGCAGCAGUACUUGCUUCAACUUCAGCAUCAUCCGCUCAGAACCAAGGUCAAAUUCUAUGCCUUUUAUCAAAUUAUCAGUCUCACUUUUUUUCUGGGAUAUCUUGAUUUCCUCUGUUUUCUAUCUUAAACCCCUGUUUGGCUCCCGAGAAAGUUGAGGAAGCCCCCAAAGACUGAAUUUUUUUUGUACGUUUAGAUUGCUUUCUCAUCUGGGUUUUAUCAAAGAUGCUGUAUUUUCAGCUCAUAUCCCUUAAUUGUGAUUAGUAGUUAAUUGGUUUUUCGAGCUGAAUAAUAUGAGUGUAACAAGUUGUUAAUUGGGAAUUUUUGGUGAUCUUCAUAUUGUUUGUUAUCUGAACAGGCAAUUACUGCGGGGGUUUUGUCAGCGAUCAGUGACAUAGUGUCGCAGAAGCUCACCGGCAUUCAGAAACUUCAGAUAAGACGGCUCCUUCUCAAAGUGGUAAGGUCCAUUAGGAUUCCAUAUCGCCGAUUUUAUGAAAGUUUGUAUCUUUGAUCUGGGUAUUUGUGCAUACUGUAUAUGAAAGAAAAAGGGAUUUUCAAAAGUAGCAAAGUUGGUUUAAACUCGUUGUUCGAUCAUUUGAACCUAAUUUUAUGCUUUUGUCGAAAAAUAUGUCUUCUAGCAUUUGCUAUGAUAUUGAAGUGUUUUGUAGAUUCACUUUCUCACAGACGUUCGAUCAUACAUUCUAUUUGAGAUACCUUGUCAAACUAAUUUCAUAAGCACUACAAUAUUGUUUGGUACCGAAAUUUAGAUGAAAGUUUGGAAUUUUUGUUCCCCUCUCAUUUAAUGUUUGAGUAGGGCAUGAUGGUUAAAGCCUCUUAACAUGAGAAAAUGCAAAAUAUGCAGCAUUACUGUCGGAGAUGAUGGUUAAAAUCUAUUUUGCAGCCGUAAUUACAAUUAUUUCCAGGUGAUAAUAUAGUUUGUUGUUGUCUGUAAGAAGUUUGGUUCGAUGAAAUUGUAAAUCUGCUAAGAUGUUUUAAUGUGUAUAACUACUGUGGCAUAUAUUUUACAUGUAUAACAUUUCUAAAUGCAGCUUCUAGGAGCUGUUUAUCUUGGACCAUUUGGGCAUUUCCUGCAUACCAUACUAGAUAAGAUUUUCAAGGGGAAGAAGGAUUCAAAAACAGUAGCAAAGAAGGUAGGCUAUACUUUCCUUCAUGCUCCCAUUUUCCAUUCCCCCGCCUCCACGAAAAAAGUGGAAGAACGUUUUGGUCAUUCUAAUAUUCCUGAUGAAAUUAUUAUUUCAGGUGCUGGUGGAACAGCUGACGGCUUCUCCCUGGAAUAACUUGGUUUUCAUGCUUUACUAUGGGUUGGUUGUGGAGGGUAAGUAUAUGUGAAAACCUUCGAUCUCAACAUUUUGUUUAUGUUUUAAAUGUUGCCAUGUGAAAAAUACAGUUGGAAUGCAGCAGUACCUAUGUGCCCUUAAGAUUUGUUUGUUUAAGAUCUAAAGUUGUAGUAUUUAAAUAUUAGUCAAUCAAACAGCUCUUAAAUUUUCAAAGAAAGCAGCCUGUAAGAGGCACACUAGCAUGUGGGACAGAUACGAGUGUUUAGCGGAAGUUAGUGUGACAGAUGGUGUGAACGUUGUUGCUUAAUUGUCUAAUGGAGAUGUGAAAAACAGGAAGACCUUGGAUGCAAGUGAAAAGUAAAAUCAAGACGGACUACCCAAAGGUUCAAUACACAUCGUGGACGGUAUAGUUCUCUUCCUGUUAUGAUUUAUACUAUUACUAUGACAUACGACAAUGUAAAACCAUUCAUAAUCGUAAAAUCUUACAUGGUUGGAAAUGCAGUUCUGGCCUGUUCUGGGGUGGAUAAAUCACCAGUAUGUGCCACUGCACCUCCGUGUCAUCUUCCACAGCUUGGUCGCUUUUGGCUGGUACAUACUAUAAACUUAAACCUCCUUUUUGCUCUAUGAUAUACAUUUAAUUCAUUCUUCUUGAUUCGUUAACAAACUGCCUUGUACUUUCCUUUUUUUUUUUUUCAGGGGAAUUUUCCUAAACUUGCAGGCAAGAUCUGUGGCCUUACCAAAAGCCUAGUGAAACCGAUGAAAUUUUUCGAUUGGCCUCAGAUGAUUUGUUGCCCCCAUUGAGUUAUUCUAGUUAGCUCACAGAUGAUCUCUCUUGAACAAUUAUGAACUCCAAAUACUAGAUGUAAGUCAUGGAUUCCCUUUUUCUUGUAUGCUGGAUGUUGUAGAAAAUAUUCUCAAUGAAUAAAACGAGUGAUCUGUUUUCAUUAUUUUUUGCCAAACGAGUGUAAAUUGGCAUGUUACAAAUCAAAGAGGUUUGUCGUACAGUCUAACUGGAAUGACAGUGUGAUUAGAGGUGGCAAAUCAACUCAUUGAGUUGCUAAUAGGUACCCAUCAAGACCCAGUUAAUUUGACGUCACCAUAAUAUAGAAGUGAGAUUGGUAGUGGUGAAGAGUGUAAGGUGAAAUCAAACUAAAUGAGUUUUAAUAGGUACCCAUUAACAAUUAAAUUGGUUGAUUUGUCACCUCUAACUGUGACAAUAUCUCAAGUUAAUUACUCAAUGUUAUAUAAAAACGUUCAUGAAAUUGUGAUUGGCUUGAGAUAGUGACACAGUGGAUGCACGUUUCAUAUAAACUGCCUACGAUUCCAAAUCUAAGCAUUAUUUUGCUUACCGUGUUGGUGUUGGAGACCACACUUUGCAUCAUUGCAUUGCAUGUGAAUGAGAUAGCGCAAAGCUCUCGGAGCGAGGGGACAAGAAAUAUAUAAAACAAGCUUGGAGAUUGGAGGGCAAAUGACUCAGUCUCUAAUGUUCUUUAAAUAAUAUUAAUCUAACAUAUUGGCGAUCUCACCUUCAAUUAAGGGUUGAAUGUUGCACCGAGUCACUGACCGUGAUGCUCGUGGUCAAAUCGGGUUUCCAUUAUAUUAUGAUAAGUGUUAGGUUUGAAUAUCGUAAAUAGCAAAUUCGAUAUCAAUUUAUUCUCCUAUAUUUUAGAAAAGACGUGGAGUACUUGAAGCUAACGGAACUAGGAGCAAAAUUGAGCGCAAUGAUGUUCCAUAAUUUAUACAACUGAUCCAUUUAGUGGGAUAAAACUUUGUUAUUGUUCGACUUGGAAUAUUAAAAAAUUGGUUUUUGUUAUUGAAAAACACGUAUAAAAUUAACUUUGGGAUGGCUUACUAAUCACACAUGUUGUGCAUCCCCCAAGUCAGAUGCUUGUAAUACAAGAUUGUGAAAUAAUUCAAUUAAGACUUAUACUAAUUAAUUAGUAGCUAGCUAGGAAGGAUUUUCAAAGAUUAAACACUUUAACAAAGAUAGGUCAUGAACUUAGGUUAUGUAGGUUAAUUUGACUGAUUCGAGCUAGGUUAUAUUGAGUUGCAAAUAAAGAAGAAAACCACCACUAUUGUGAACAACACAUCAUCUUUGCACUAUUCCAAAUAAUGAAGAAAACCACUACACAAUAAUUAGGAGUUGAAUGAACCACUACAAAGAUCCCUUCGUUUUAGAGGAUGAGGAGAAGCAGUGCCACUAGCAGGCUACUAGGCCAUUACCAAAAUUGAGAGAUAAACUAAGAAAAUGUAGACCAAUAAUUUAUGAUAAUUUUGAAUUGAGGAAAACCACACUUAUCACAUUUCUAAUAAAGUUAUAGAACCGACUAACACAUACGGAUCUCAUCUCUAUUAAAGAGGUGAUAUUAACUUAUAUAUGGUACUGGUUUGGUCUUUGAAUUCAAUUAAAUAAGAGCCAUGAGAAGUCACAUUUGUCUCGAUAUGCCAUUGGACGUACCAAUGAUCUACUCGCUAGGGCUGUUUAUAAGUCAAUAUCUGUAUCCCAUUGUGUCACAUGCUCAAACCCCAAGAGAUAAUAAGCCAUGAGAUUAGAUGACUCGUGUUCAUGGAGAUGAAGGAGUAUAUUCAAACUUUGUUUUGUGUCUACCAUUUGCCUCUCCUACAAUACCAUUUUAAUUAGUUUUGCAUGAAUGUUAUAUGUAAGGAAUAGAAACUAAUCAAUAUCAGAAAAAUAAUUGACUGUAUGGAGCUGUCAAUCUCUUCCUUGAACUUUAAUUUUAGCCGAUUGCCCCCUUAAACUUUUCUAAUUAGCCAAUUUUCUUCUUAAACUUUAACUUUAGCGCUCCCCUAAACUUUUAUAAAUAGCCAAUUCCUUCCCCCCAACGUUAGAUAUUAAGAAUUUUAAUCUAUCUUGAUCACGGAAACAACACAUAAUUGGCUAAAUUAAAGUUCAUGAAGGAAAUUGACAGCUGCAUACAAGUUCAGGGGACGAAUCAACAAAUGCCUCUUUAAAUUAAACAUAUUAUAAUACAUUGUUAGUUUAAGAUUCUACCACGACUUCUCCAGUGUAGAUAAGUCAUUCUAUAUGCAUUAAGCAAGGCAGUGUUGUUGUAUAAAUACCAUACCGAGUACAAAUAUUUCACUACUUCAUCCUCUAUGCCUAGGCAAUCCACAACUCCAACCACCAGACCCACAACCAAUAUACAACUCAUAUACAAAUAUAUAAUAAUAAUUCGAUCAAGCCAAAGAAAGUAUGGCAGCUUUUCAAGCUUCAAGCAUCUUUUGCUUGAUGGGAUCACCUAAUCAAAUGCGUUUUCAAAAACGAGUAAUCAAAGCUACUACCAAUAAUACUCCAAAAUUCCAGGUGAGUCCUCCAACUUCUCCUCCUCCCAAGCUCCCAACCAAAAGUUUUAUCCAGAACUUGGAAAACGAUUAUUUCCACUCUUCCAUCAAAAUCAACACCACUGGCAAUAUGUCAGAUGAUCCAACGGUGAUUCCUAAGCUGUAUGCAAUCAUGGAAGCCAUUGCAGACAGAGUGGAGAUGCAUAAGAACAUCGGAGCUCAGCGUGACAAUUGGAACCAUCUCCUUUUAAUCUCCAUCAAUGCAAUAACUCUCACUGCUGCAACCAUGGCAGGACUUGCAGCUGCUGCUAGUACUAUUUCUACUGCAAAAGCACCCUUUAUGGCUCUCAAGCUCUCUUCCACUUUUCUCUACGUAUCCGCCACCGCCAUGCUGGCGGUGACAAACAAAAUCCAACCGUCCCAGCUCGCCGAGGAGCAGCAGAACGCGGCGAGGCUGUUCAAGCAGCUCCAUGCACAGAUUCAAACAACCCUAUCUCUCAACAACAACAGUGUAAGUAAUAAUAUUAAUAAUGUGGAUGUGAAUGAAGCUAUAGAUAAAGUGUUGGCAUUGGACAGGGCUUACCCUCUUCCUUUGUUAGGUGAAAUGCUCGACAAGUUUCCCAAAACUGUGGAGCCCACAGUGUGGUGGCCAAGAGUACAGAAUCAUCAAAAUAGGGUUCGGGGGGUUGAAGGUGAUUUAGUACAUGGGAAUAAUGGGUGGAAUGAGAAGUUGGAAGAGGAGAUGAGAGAGGUUGCUAGGGUUUUGAAGAGCAAGGAUGUGCCUGAGUACUUGAGAUUGACUGAAAUAGCCUUGAAAGUCAACAGAGUUUUGGCUAUUUCUGGUCCUAUUUUAACUGCCCUUGCAGCUUUGGGGUCUAAUUUUGUGGGUUCAAGUAGCAAUCUUGGGGUGUGGGGAGUAAUGGUAGGGGUCAUAUGUGGAGCUUUGGCUAGUGUUGUGAAUACAUUGCAGCAUGGUGGGCAAGUUGGGAUGGUGGUUGAAAUGUACAGGAGCAAUGCUGGUUUUUUUAGGCUGAUGCAAGAGAGUAUUGAAUCAAAUUUGAGAGAGAAACAAGUUGAGAGGAGAGAGAAUGGGGGAGUGUUUGAAUUGAAGGUGGCUUUGCAGCUUGGAAGGAGCUUAUCAGAACUCAAUCUUGCUGUUUUCCCUGAAAAGUUUGCAAGCAAGCUAUUCUAGGGUUGUUGUAUAUAUGUUGGUUUUGGCUUUACCAAUUCGGUUAGUUUUUGUCACUUUUGUGUUGUAAUUUGUACAUUAUUGCGUAAUUUUAAUUUGUUCAUACAAAUAAUCACCAUGUCUCGAAUAAGAUUAAUCAAGUGUCAAAUUGCUUUUCAAUGAUUCGAACUUUUGAGUUUUUAGGUUUUUCUUCAAACAUUAUUGUUAUAAAAACCCACUCAAUUAAAUAAUGGUCAUUUUAGUGUUUUCUUGACUUAAUGUACUUGUCUAUACUUUUGGCUACAACUAAAUGUAUUAGCGAGUUUUUUAUUCCUCUAAUUUUUUAUAAGGACGGUCUUUGAAUGAAAAAUUGCAUGAAUUAGUGCUUUUAAGACAAUUAAAUUAAACAAAAAGUAUACAACAAUCAGUCGAGUAAUGCAGUUCACUAAAAUCUAACUAAGAGUGAUGGAGCUAGCCUCAAAGCCCAAAAUCAAAAUUUCCAAACUUUUAGGCUCAAAUCCUUACUUGUUACUUGGUAGUGAAUAUCUUUGUUGGAGAAAAGAGGGAAGGCAUGCAAGGGGAAUUGCAGCUCAUGAUUAAUUUGAAAUCUGCUAGCUGCAGUAGCCAUGUUGGCUUCCCCACUCACCACACCACCCUUAUUUAUUUGCCCCAAGUGGCAACUCAUUUUUAAAUCUGUCACCAUGAAUUCCUUUAUAAACAAUUAAACACGCUACUGGUAAUCAGUAAAAGGCUAGCCAAUAAUACGCUAUUUGGUGGCCGACUGCCGUUAAUGAUAAAUCUGGUAUAUCCACACCAGCCAAAUAAUGUGUAAACUAUAUAAUAACAAAGCGUUUGUAGCUUGGUUGGUUAAAAAUAUUCAUUUUUACGACAUAUUUACGAGUUUGGUUCUCCCUUUUCAACUAUGGUUGCUUUGCUUGGCUUGAAAAAAAAUGUAGUGGUUGGCAAGAGGGAAGAAUUUCAUCAAAGCCUGAAACUUUGCAUCCCUAGAAUUGCCCUUUUGACUUUCAAUUUAGGUUUAUAUCCUUAUAAUCUUAUAAAACUUGUCAAGUUAGCCACUCCGAUCAAAUGUAUCAACUUUUCAUCAAACUGAGAGUUACUUUUGACUAUUUAAGAAUCAUGUUUUAAAGAUAAUCAAAAGACACAUCACUAAAUUAAAAGUCAAAAAGACAAAUUGAAAAAAUGUUACGAGAAUGAAAGAGACAUGCACGAUGCAUCUAUGAUUCGAUUGUUAACCUAACGUGAUCUGCAUGAUGACUCCAAACGGUCGAAUUGGAGAACCAAUAUAAAUAGUAUAGUUUACAAAUUUACUAUUUCAUCCUAUAUGUGGUUGGAAUUACAAAUGCAGGACUGUGUAGUUUUUUAAUUUUUAAUUUUGGACCCAAAACAUUAUCACGUAACGAAGGAGGACCAUUUCUCCUCUUCGUCCUUCUUCAAUAACCAAACUAACACGUUCUUCCCAAAGCUUUCGACUUUAACCACACUCUGCUUACCCACCAAAACAAAAACUCCAGAAAGAUGAUUCAGCUGCUGUUCGUAGUGAUUUUAUCAGAAAUGGUUCUGAUACUGGCGUUUCUGUUCAGGACCCCCUUCAGGAAGCUGGUGAUUUUGGGGCUGGAUCAGAUCAAGCGCGGCCGCGGCCCCGUCGUGGUGAAGACGGUGGCGGCGACGGUGUUUGUGGUGCUGAUGACCAACGUUUACAGCAUAGUUAAGAUCAGAGGGAGCCGGAUCGACAAAGCUGCUGUUCUUAGUCCCACCGAUCAGGUCCUUAUGAUCAAGCACCUUCUCGACGCCACUCUCAUGGGUAAUUUUCAAUCUUAUGAUAACUUUUUCGGUUUUUGUUGUGGGUUAAUUGCUAGAACUUGAUUGCUAUCUGGGUAAUUCUUGAUUUUUGGGUUUAGUGACAUAAUCUCCGAUAAUUUUGAUUCUAGUGUGGAAUUCUUGAAUGUGCAUUUUCUUUUUUGUUAAUUGUUUAACUUUUGGUUUUUGUGAAUUGUGGUUGGAAUGUGGUUACUUUGAUGGAUUUGGGAAUGAGAUGGAUGAUGAAAGAUUAUAACUUUUUGCCUUCCUAUAUUCACAUCACUGUUUCAUUAAUUUCAUUAACAACACUAACUUGUAAGGGAAAGUAAAUAGCUAGGUUUUCUAGAUCUUAAUUAGUUGUUCUGAGAACCUGUUUUCGAGAAAUCAAAUUCGAGGCAUUAUGGUGUUAUAGUGGCCUGGUUCUGAGUUCUGUGGUUUUCAGAUGAAUGAUGUACACAGGCUGUCGAAAAUUAUGUGUGCAAAUUGCUCACUAAGAGUUUCAUAUUCCUCGAUAUUACCCAUGAUCUGAUAGAAAUAUUUCACUUAUUACUGUUGGUGAGGAGCAUUUUGUAACUUGACAUGUAAUUCUCAGAGGUAAUGAUGAAUUCUGUGUCUUGUUCACCUUGCUGCCGUCUAUGAUUAACGUCUGAAAUGGGCCUACUUACCACCAUACAGCCCUUUUGAGCAAGAAACUGAGCUCUUUUUUCGUUUAGUUAAGUUGGCAGGUUAAAUGCUAAAGUAAUUUGUAGAGGAAACCAAUAGGUCCUUCUAUCCGGAAAUAGCAUUGAUAUUGUAGACAGCAAUGUGAUUAUAUCAGCUGCACUUUGUUUGUAUCGGUUGUAUCAGCACAGAAGUAUUUUAUUUGCUUCUCCUUUUCUUUGUUAAAUGCAAGUUUCAGUUUUCAUUAUGUCAUCAGUGUAUAAAAAAAAUGUCGUACCCAGUGCACAAGGCUCCCGCUUUACGCAGGGUCUGGGAGAGGUGAAUGUCGGCUAGCCUUACCCCCAUUUAUGGAGAGGCUGCUCCCAGGUCUCGAACCCGAGACCUAUCGCUCAUGGGCGAAGGCACUUGCCAUCGCACCAAGUGCGACCUCUUAAAUGACACCAGUGAAAAACAGAUAUGAUGUCCUUUAUUUGUACUCUUAAAGAGUAACUAAUGUUAAUUGAGUUUUGAAUUGAUUUUUGUUCAAUCCAUUGUUCCCCUGCCUCGUCUGUAUGAUGAGGAUGAAAUGAGAAUCAAUCUAAUCAUGUCCUACAUGUUUAAUUAACUUUUAAGUAGAUUCGCACGCUCCUUACCCCUUUUCCCCGAUAUUUAUAGUAGCUUUCGCUUGCUGACAGUAAAAGAUAAUUACCUAGCUGAACCGUCCUUAAUAACCCAUGUUGUGAAUUGCAUUGUGGUUAUGUUGCUACAAUUUCUGUUUACGAGAUGUUCAUUUCGGUGGGGAGUUUCAUGUUUCAUGAAUUCCUAUUGCUUACUGAGUGAUAAUCUUGUCAGUCUUUGACUCAUUUGCAUCUCCCACUUGCAGGAUGCUCCCUAUUUCUUGCUCUUAUGAUAGACAGACUACACCACUACAUUAGAGAACUUCGUAUACGAAGAAAGGGCAUGGAAGCCCUUAAGAAACAGAACAGAGGAUCUGAGGAUGGAAAAUCUAGCAGUUUGGAUAAGAUGAAAGUCUUGGAGAAUGAGAUGGCUACAUUGCAUACGAGACUCAAACAACUAGAAUCUGAAAUCGAGACAAAGACGAAAGAUGUUCAUACUGCAGAGUCCAGCAUCCUUGCUCUAAGAAAACAAUCGGAAGGGUUUCUUCUCGAGUAUGAUCGUUUACUUGAAGAAAACCAAAACUUAAAGAAUCGGUUGCAGUCAGUUGACUGGAAAAUGUCACGUUCAAGUAGCAAGAAAGAUUCAUAAAGGAUUUUAACCACAUUUUGAGAUUUUUAAUUUGUUAUUUAAUUUCACAGAAGUUGUUCGUGAGUGUUUUAAGAUGGGUUUAUUAAUUACAUUUAAUUUGUCAUAUAUGCUAAUUCUGAGGGGUGAGAGAGAGAGGCUCACCACUUUGUACGGCUAAUGUAACUAAAAGUUGAGUGUUGAAGUAUAAUCCAUAAAAUUAUUCAGUUUUGUCUUGAUAAACUGUGAUAUAUUUUCAUGCCAUCGAUUAAUGAUAUGGUUUUUUUUUUUUUCUCUAAUUUUCAUUUGCAAGUUAACAUCCAUUUCCUGCCUUAGUGUUAUAGUAAAUAUCGAAUCCGAUCCCAUAUAAUAUAUGUUACUCAGUUGGAGAGAGUUACACAUACCCAACACGCCACAAAGGUGCAUUGAGACUUUCUCAUGCUGUAGGACUUACUUACCUUUGGCUAAGAGUGCAUAGAAACGUAUGUAUUACCCAUUCCCUCAUGUUAAGCCACACGGAUUCUCAUACAAUUAACAAUAACACCCAUACAUUUCAUCCGAAUGAUACAUUUCUUGUUAUAUUAGAGAGCAUUAAAAACCAGAACUGGGCAAUACACAAACACUACAAGCAAUAUACGUUCUUUGUCUGUUCAUGUUUGCAUGGCUUCAUGAUCACAGGUUUCUGAAUACUUCAUAAAUAACCGCUGAACUUCACAUUGCAACUUGAUUCUUUUUGUACUACUUUAAUUCAUGGAAGUAUCUCCAAAUAUCCAUUGGAUUAAACAAUUAUUUAUGUUAAAUUAUUUAGGGGACAUUUUACCAAAUGAAGGAAUCACGAGAAACAAGCAAACUUAAUUAGAUAAACUCACGGUGCCGAUUUAGUCACUUUCAUUGGAUUUGAAAAUAUCCUGUGAAUUGCCUAAGGCUAUUGAUAUUUUUACCUUCGUGGGAUAACUUGUUUGCAGACUUGAGAGGAAGCGUAGAAAGGAUUUCAUACCAGAAAGAAAUUUAUUUUAUCAUAAUUCAAGAACUUGAGGUAGGAUACUUGGCUGACAACAAACUGCUCUUGGAUAUUAAUCCAUUUUCAGUUACCAAUUGGAAUUUAUCGUCCAUUUUCAUGUAGAAGAGCCACAUCGUUCCUUUAACAGUAUAGACAUGCAAGGCUGAUAAUAAAAUGCAUAGUACCUAAACAAGAUAAUACAUAAGCAAGACUGAUACCUAAACAAGAUAAGACAGCAGCAAGGAUGCAUGCCUAUGCCUUCAGUCUUCCUCUCCAUACAUCAAAUCCGGCUUGUAUUGGUGCAGUGCCAUAAGCAUUAUAUUUUCAUGAGCUUCAAAAGCGCACAUCAAAUCCUAGUCAAUUACAUGUGCCCAACGUCCAGCAAAAACAAACAACUUUCUGAAUUGAUUACAUAAAGUAACUUCGUAGUAAAUAAAAAAACAUAGUAACAUGAGUGAAGUGUUUUGCUAUGUUCCGCACAGUAAUCAGAUACUACACUACCCAUUCAGAUUGACAAUUCCACAUAUAUAUAUAUAUAUAUAUAUAUAUAUAUAUAUAUAUAUAUAUAUAUAUAUAUAUAUAUAUCCUUCUUACUUGAACCCAUGUAGGCAUUCCCCAGCAAGGCCUUCCACGGCGGGAUAGAAGCAUCAAUUCCAUGAGAUAAAAAGACUCUAGAUCUGAUUCCCUCGAAUCAUUUUCUCUAGAAGAUGCCUAACAAAAAAUGUCUUCCGUGAUAUUAUGGUUUCUGAAGUCAUCAUAGAAUGGUGGUUUCGCAGCAAAUACUUUGCAAAUCUAUGAAAUAAAUAAACAAGUAUGCAAGUAUAAUUAUUAAGAAGCAAUAAAUAUCGACUCAAAAGGUAACGCAUAAACAAUUCAAAACCCAACUUAUAGUUUGACUCCAAACAAAUAAACAAAUCAUUAAGUAUCUGAAGAAGUGUUCCUCCAAACAGGGGCUUCAACGCCUUACGUAAAUCAUUUAUAUCAUUAGCAUCAUCAUCUGUUAUAUGAGCAUCCUUACGGUGUAAGGUUACAACUCUCCUACCAUUCCAAAAUAAGUUUUCUAAGCGAAUGUUCAAAUGAUGAUCCACUGGAAUAGUAGGAGAAUGGUAACCUUACACCGUAAGGAUGCUCAUAUAGCGAAUGAUGAUGCUGAUGAUAUAAAUGAUUUACGUAAGGCGCUACAGCCCCUGUUUGGAGGAACAUUUUCUCAGAUACUUAAUGAUUUGUUUAUUUGUUUGGAGUCAAACGUGCAAGUUGGGUUUUGAAUUGUUUAUUGCGUUAACUUUUGAGUAGAUAUUUAUUGCUUUUUAUAAUUAUAAUUGCAUAAUUGUUUAUUUAUUUCAUAGAUCUAUAAAGAAUUUGCUGCGAAACCACCAUUCUCUGAUGACUUCAGAUGUCAGAAUAUCAUGAAGGGCAUUUUUUGUUAGGCAUCUCCUAGAGAAAAGGAUUUUAGGGAAUCACUUUUUUUUUGCUAACUAUGUUGUACCUACUCAUGGAUAUAGAGUCUUUCUAUCUCAUGGAAUUAAUGCUUCUAUUCCGCCGUGGAAUGUCUUGCUAGGGAAUGCCUACAUGGGUUCAAGUAGAAAGGAUACAUACAUGUGGAAUCGUCAAUCUGAAUGCGCAGUACAAUAUUUGAUUACUGCACGCAACAUAGCAGAUCACUUCACUCAUGUUAGUAUGCUUUUUUUUAACUACGAAGUUACUUUCGGUAUUUUUAUGUAAUCAAUUCAGAAAAUUGUUUGUUUUUACAGGAUGUUGAGGCACACGUAAUUGACAGGGAUUUGACAUGCGCUUUUGAAGCUCAUGAAAAUAUCAUGCUUAUGGCACUGCACCAAUACAAGCCAGAUUUGAUGUAUGGUGAGGAAGAGUGAAGGUAUAGGCAUGCAUCCAUGUUGCUAUCUUAUCUUGUUUAGAUACUUUGCAUUAUUGUUUUUACAAUCAGUCUUGCUACUGUCUUAUCUUGUUUAGGUACUAUGCAUUUUAUUAUCAGCCUUGCAUGUCUACAUGAAAAUGGACGAUACAUUCCAAUUGGUAACUGAAAAUGGAUUAAUAUCCAAGAGCAGUUUGUUGUCAGCCAAGUAUCCUAGCUCAAGUUCUUGAAUUAUGAUAAAAUAAAUUUCUUUCUGGUAUGAAUUAAUAUCCAAGACCGUUAACUGUAUAGGCAUGCAUCCAUGUUGCUAUCUUAUCUUGUUUAGGUACUUCGCAUUAUUGUUUUUACGAUCAGUCUUGCUACUGUCUUAUCUUGUUUAGGUACUAUACAUCUUACAAUCAGGGUUGAGUGAUAAAUGAAGUAACAAGUAGACAUUUGCAAUCAAACAAAAUACAAAGGAUUGAGUCAUGUACCGACUUAAGACCCAACAAGUGCAUUGAGACAAGGGUGCCCUCUGCCUUGUAAAGACAAAAUAACUGUUAGCGGUCGGAUCUACUGAUUUUGAGGCAUAACAUAAAUAAUAGCAUCAUUCUUCAGUGUUUAACCUUAAUCUCAAAUAAAAGAAAAUACUUAGGAAGAUCAAAUUUAACACAAGACCAUAUAUACCUUGGGUGGCAGGGGAAAAACAUAUAUUGUUAUAUGUUUAAACCGCUCACACAAUUCAGGAAAGAAUGGAUGUAUCCAUUUAGAGGCUGCACUGCCCAUUGCCCAUUGACCAACAAGUAAGUAAAUUCAUUACUUGGAAAAUAAAAGAAACAAAAAUGACCAUUCAUAUAAUGAUGAUCAAAUGCAACAACAAAAAUGAAAGUAAAUUCAUGGAUCACGACUUAGACAUACUUUUCUUGCAACCACAAGCCGUGAAGUAGAGAACCGAUGGAAGGCGUUCAUCUAUCUCAAUAAUAAAAAUGAUUGAAUUAGAAAAAUAUAUAUAGAAUAAAACCACAAAUUAUUCAACGAGGUUUGGUGUAGAGAGAAUCUUAAAAAUGUUGUAAAAUCGGCGAUAUGUGCAGUGGAAUAAAUGAAAUAAGACACAAUAUUUACGAGUUACCUCUAUAGUCAAUGUGACUGGAGUAAGUUUUCGGAACAGCAGUGGUGUUUUCAUUUAUAAUCUGAAAUAAUGAGAGUACAAAUAUAACUCUCUCUAUUCUCUCAUCUCUUCUUCCUCUCCUAUUUCCUCAUCUCUUCUUUCUCUCUUCUUCCUUUCUUUGAUGUUGUUUCAUAAUUCCCUCUUCUUCCUCUCUUUGAUGUUGAUUCAUAAUUCCCUCUCUUCUUGAUGUGUGUUCUUCCUUUUACACUAUGAUCUUCCAUAUAUAGGCAAAUGAAUGGAUAAGAUGUUAAAUCAAAAUCUACCACACUUAAUGUUUUUACCUACUACAUUUAUUAAUUUUUUACCUAACCAAACCUACUCCCACACUUACUACACCUAUUAAUCCUUUACCUAACCAAACCUAAUACUCUCACUAAAUACAUCCAAUAUUUACAGCAAAAAAUUAAGAGGUAUUCAUCAAUUUCCCCCCUGAACUUGUGACUAUUGGUCAAUUUCCCCCCUCAACUUUAAUUUUGGCCAAUUUCCCCCCUCAACUCUCAUAAUUAGUCAAUUUGCACCCAAUUGUUAAUUUUUUUUUUUUAAUUUUCCAUCUAUUCUUUUUUUUUUUCAAUCUUUCUAAUAACUUCCAACAAAGUACUAAAAUUAACAUAAACUCACUUGCAUAAUAUAGGGUAAAAUGUACAAAAACAUUAAUACAAUUAGUAUGUGAUAUGGGUUGAUUAUAAGAAAAAGUUAUGAAUCGGUUUAAAGCAUGUAAAAGAAGAAAUAAUAACAAAAAGACAUAAUAAUCAUAAACUCAUGGAUCAGACAUAUUUCAAUAAAAUAGGUUAUUCUUAAUAAUGAGUAAAAAAUUAUGAAUUGACUAGCCAUUUUUGCACUAAAACUCGAUUCUCUACAAUUUACUUGAACUUAGCUUUCACCUUUAUAAAGAAAAUUGUAUUCACAUACAAAAAUGUACACAUCAAUCCUUUUCGUUAUCAAUUUUGUAUAGUAAAAAAUCAAAUAAAAUUACGCCAUACUGAUUUAUUAUGACUAAUAAUACUAUCUAUGAUAAAUUGUAAAAUUCUAAAUUUUAAUCUAUUUGUAAUAGGAUAAAGAUAUAGGAAAAUGAUUAACAUACAUCUUAUUUAAUUUCUUACACACACUUGUUUAAUUAUGAUCAAAUUAAAAAAUUAAUAGUAGGGUGCAAAUUGACUAAUUAUGAGAGUUGAGGGGGGAAAUUGGCCAAAAUUAAAGUUGAGGGGGGCAAUUGGCCAAUAGUCACAAGUUCAGAGGGGAAAUUGAUGAAUACCUCAAAAAUUAAUACCUUUAAUUUUGUUCAGUGCCCUGUCAUAAGUUCAUAACCAAAUGCAGUAUUAAAGAGGACAAUGUUUGCUGGAUAUGGACGUGGAGGUACUGUAUCAGCUAGAGGACCUGAAUCCAAAUCAUUUUUUCCUUUUUUUUUUGGGUUCCUCAUUUUUGGGCAACGAUUCCAAAUCCGAUUCCCCAGUUUGAAUCGAUAUAUUUGUUUUUCGUCGGAGGGAUCGUCGGUGUUGGAGAGAAUGAAGAGAAUAGGAUGGAAUAAUCGAUAAACAGGGUAGGGUUUUGGUAGGAUUAGAAACAAAUGAACUUUAACGAAAAACUUUGAUACUGUUCAUUUUAACGAAAAACCACAUUUUUACAAUAAAAAAUCAAUUUUGAUACUAUUUACUUUACUUUUUAUUUUGUCAUUAUAGUCAAAACUCAAAGUUUUCAAACUAUUUUUAUUAAUUUUCCUUGAAAACAGUGUGCAUACGACGGUGGAGGAGAACACCAACACCAGCACGGCCGCAUCAAAAACCCUAAAUUCCUCUUCGCCAUUCUCCGCCUCUCUCUUCCGCUUCUCUUUCUUUUGGGUGUUUUCUAUCAAGUAUUUAUUGUCUCUACCCAUAGAGGUAGGCAAGAGCUGCUUCUGACUGCUUUGGGCUGGGCUUAUUGGGCCCUUUUUUCUAGAAUUUGCCCAGCCCUAACACAUAUUUGAGGUUUCGAAUCUUCUACCCAACAAAUAAGUUCGCCAGACAAUCCAACCUCAUAUUUGAACAAUUGUCCCCAAUAUUAAUAGAAUCCAAGAUUGAGCGGUAAUUUUCAAACUCGAUAUUCAUGAAAUUCGAUUUUAAGACCUUUCAUUACAAGUGAAAAGAAAACUACCACUAAAUCAUUGCGAAAUGACUUAUUUUAUUUAAGAAAAGCAAGCUACACGAAAUGGUUUAAAUUUGCAACAUGACUCAAGGGCACCUUGUCGUAUGAAUUCACCUUUUACCCUUGAAGCAUAGUUCGGUUCUAGAAAUAGUGUAUUUUUGCACUACUUUUCUUGAUAAAAAAAAAAAAAAAAAAAAAAACUAGUUCGUUAACUAUGUAGUGUGGAUACUAAAUUGCCUAGGAAAAAACUAAAAUAUCAACUUUAGUUCUCUCCCUCUCCUCUGUGCGGCUCACCUCUCUUCCACGAGAGAAGGGGAAAUACAACAAUACCAACCAAACUUUUAUCUUACUAAAUGGUGUGGCUAUAUAAAUCCUAGAACGUCACUGCGUUUUGUUUUUUCCGCCAAGCCUUUCAUUAACACUACUACAAAACUACCCAUUACUGGCAUAAAUAAAAACGACAAGAAAAGGUUAUUACUGAGGGAUUUUAAGCAAAAUCCGACAGAAAAUGGUUGCAGUGGCGGAUAUCAUAAGCGACAGCAUUGCUCGCGUCAGGAAAUAAAUUUUCCGACAGAAAAUACUAUAAAACCGACACUACUACUGUCGGUUUUAUCCGACAGAAAUUUCGUCGGUUAUAACCGACAGGAUAUAUAUUUAUUUAUUAUAAUUUAUGUCGCAUAAAACCGACAGAAAAUACUAAAACCGUCAGGAAUUCUGUCGGAUAUAACCGACAGAGAAUUUAUUAUAAAAUAUAUAAAAUCAUUCUUGUCAGAUACAACCGACAAAAAGUAUAUUAAUAAAUAAAAAAUCUGCGUUCACCAUCCAAAACCUCACCGGAGCUCGAGCUCGAACUCGAAAACAUUAGAUACCUCAACAACUUGAACAAACAACCAAAAACCCAAGAAAAAACACACAAAAAGCUGAGAGAGAGUAGCAGAUUUGAUGGAGCUCGAGCUCGAACUCGAAAAUAAUAUGUCGUGGCCUUUUGCUCUCUACCACUGGUUGAGCAAGAUUGGAUGGAGCCGAAGCUACAAAAGGUUCUAUAUCCCAAGGAGAACUGCAGCAUGCUCGAGCUCGAACUCAAAAAUAAUAUGUCGAGGCCUUUGAACUGCAGCAUGCUCAUCCCAUUGAACCUGCAAGAAAUACAACUAAAGAUAAGUAGAUGAACAGGAAGAAAUAAAACAGCAUUUGAUCUGUAACUUGUUAGCAUCUUAACCUUCAACGAUCACCAUUUAGAUUCAGUCCACUGAGGACAUAAAUCCCCAACCUCAACUAUUGUGCCUGUGAACCUGAGCAAUAUGAGAGACACACAGAGAGAGAGAGAGAGAGAGAGAGAGAGAGAGAGAGAGAUAGCUAAAGCUAGGGUUCGAACUGGAAGUAAAUGAGGAGAGGAGAGAAGAGAAGGAGAAGGAAAUGAGGAGAGGAGAAAAUAGGGAAGGGAGAAGCACCGACGGCAGGGAGAGAUGGAGGGGGGGUUAUAAUGUGGAAAUGCUUCAUUACUGUCGGUUAAAACCGACAGAAAUGUUUUUAAUAAAAAUCGACAAAUUUUUUUUUAAUAAAAACCGACAGAAACUUUCGUUAAUGUCGGUUAUAACCGACAGAAACAAAAUGGAGGCAAAAAUUUUAAACUUUCCCCCAAAUUUUAAAAUUUUAAACUUUCCCCCAAAUUUUAAAUUCCCCCCCCCCCCCCCCAAAUUUUGUUACAAUUUUAAAAAAUAAAAUAAUAAUUGUUUGGUUUAAUAAAUAAAUAAAUAAUAUGUAUUUAAAUAGAAUAUGUUUUUAAAAAUUAAAUAAAUAAUUCUUUGGUUUAAUAGAUAAUUUUUACAUUUUUGGUUUAAUAGAUAAUAAUCCAUGUAAAAUAUGCGAUAAAUAAACAAAAAGAGAAUUGUACAAUGAAAAUGUCUUCACACGAACUAAAUAUUGUCUAAUCAAUACUUGAAAAACAUAAAUAAAAAUUUAGCACAUAUUACUUUUCCCACUUCAAUUUAGCACAAAAUUUUGGCAAAUUUAUGCAUUCUACGAAAUUAGUUUCCAUGAUCUAACCGUCAAACUUGUUUGUAGAUACUAUAAGAUCGCAUAUGUAAAAAAUCGUAAAAAACAAACAUUCAAAGAUUACGUAACGGAACAAAAGUUUUCGACGGUUAUAAACGAAAAUUCAUAAUUUAACGGUUAUUUUAGCUUCGAUUUUAAUGAUUUUUUACAACUACACUCUUCGACCCUAUAAGAAUGUAAUGAAUGAAUUUGAUCUUCAAUUUAAAAUAUUUACACUAGUGAAUACCACAAAAUCUUAUUUUAUUCUUAAUGGAAGUAUAACAUUAACUCUAAGUGUUUGUUUAAUCUACUGUUUUGAUGUGAUACGCAUUCUAAGAAGCUUUUUUCAACGAUCCAACCGUCAAAAUUAUUUGUAUACACUCCGAGAUUGCAUACGUAAAAAAUCGUAAAAAACAAACAUUCAGAGAUUACAUAACGGAACAAAAGUUUUCGACGGUUACAAACAAAAAAUCACAAUUUAACGGUUAUUUUAGCUCCAAUUUUGAUGAUUUUUUACAGCUACACUCCUCGACCCUAUAAGAAUGUAAUGAAUAAAUUUGAUCUUUAAUUUAAAAUAUUUACACUAGUGGAUACCACAAAAUCUUAUUUUAUUCUUAAUGGAAGUAUAACAUUAACUCUAAGUGUUUGUUUAAUCUACUGUUUUGAUGUGAUACGUAUUCUAAGAAGCUUUUUUCAAUGAUUCAACCAUUAAAAUUAUUUGUACACACUCCAAGAUUGCAUACAUAAAAAAUCAUAAAAAACAAACAUUCAGAGAUUACAUAACGGAACAAAAGUUUUCGACGGUUACAAACAAAAAAUCACAAUUUAACGGUUAUUUUAGCUCCGAUUUUGAUGAUUUUUUACAGCUACACUCCUCAACCCUAUAAGAAUGUAAUGAAUAAAUUUGAUCUUUAAUUUAAAAUAUUUACACUACUGGAUACCACAAAAUCUUACUUUAUACUUAAUAGAAGUAUAAUAUUAACCAAGUGUUUGUUUAAUCUACCGUUUUGACGCAAUAUGCAUUAUACAAAACUUUUUUCAACGAUCCAACCGUCAAACUUAUUUGUACACACUCCAAGAUUGCAUAUGUCAAAAAUCGUAAAAAACAAACAUUCAAAGAUUACGUAACGGAACAAAAUUUUUCGACAAUUAUAAAAGAAAAAUUCACAAUUUAACGGUUAUUUUAGCUCCGAUUUUGAUGAUUUUUUACAGCUACACUCCAGAACCCUAUAAGAAUGUAAUGAAUAAAUUUGAUCUUCAAUUUAAAAUAUCUACACUAGUAGAUACCACAAAAUCUUAUUUUAUACUUAAUAGAAGUAUAAUAUUAACCAGUGUUUGUUUAAUCUACAGUUUUGAUGCAAUAUGCAUUCUAUGAAACUUUUUUCAACGAUCCAACCAUCAAACUUAUUUUUACACACUCCGAGAUUGCAUAUGUAAAAAGUUGUAAAAAACAAACAUUCAGAGAUUAGGUAACGAAACAAAAAAUUUUGAUGAUUAUAAACAAAAAAUCACAAUUUAACGAUUAUUUUAGCUUCGAUUUUGAUGAUUUUUUAUAGCUACACUUCUCGAUCUUCAAUUUAAAAUAUUUGCACUAGUGGAUAAUUUUUUAUACUUAAUGGAACUAUAACAUUAACUCUUAAGUGUUUGUUAAAUCUAUCAAUUUGAUAGGAUAUGCAUUAUACGAAACUAGUUUCAACGAUUCAACCGUCAAAUAUGUUUGUAUAUACUCCGAGAUAGCAUGUGUAAAAAAUCGCAAAAAAAAAAAACAUUCAGAGAUUAGGUAAUGGGACCGUGAGUGAAAAAAAAAAUAUUCACACCAUUUGUUUAUUUAUUUUUAAUCAAUGUAACAUUUUAAAAUAAUAAAAUAGUCAAUUUAUGUCGGUUAUAACCGCCACAAUUAACUUAGAACCGUCAAAAUAAUUUAAAAAUAUUAAAAAAAAGAGAAUUCAAAAAUACUGAGGGUUAUAAUAAUUUUAUGGUGGUUAAAUCCGCCAGGAAAAAUCCGUCAGGACUUUAUGUCGGAUAUAUCCGAUAGAAAGUAACUUUAAUCCGACAGUAAAUAAAUUAUGUGUCGGAAAUCUUUUAUCUGUCAGAAUGACUUAUUAACUGCCAUGAUCGUCCGACACCUAAAGCUAAUAUUGUAGUAGUGUAACAAGGGGAAAUAAGAGAGAAAAUUAAAAAAAAAAAAAUCCGGCUUCCGCUAGGAAAAAAGAAAAGGAAUGAAAAAUGCAAAACCAGGGUUUUACCUAAGAAGAAAAAAAAAGGAAACAAAUUAAACCAGUCAAUAGCUCGAUUAAUUCUUGACAUAUAUUUCGGAUUCUGCUUGGAAGUUAAAGGAAAAGGAAUGAAAAAUCCCUUACUUCCAAACCAACUUACCCAAAAGCCUAAGUUGAUGAUAACCUAUGUGUAUAUAUACACUACAUACCCACUCUAUUUGUAUGAGAAACCCAUCCAUCCUAAGGGUUCUCUCUUUGCUGAAGCUUUCUGGGGACAUCACCCAUGGAGCUUUUAACGUUCACUAGCAUGUUCGGCCUGAACUUGGGCAUGCUCCAGUUUCUCUUCUUCGUGCACUACAUCACGAUGAUCCAGACACCUUUCGAGUGCGUCAUCAGUUACUACAGCCUGCUCCUCGACUUCACUCUCAUCGGUAAUGUUCGUUUUGUUUUUUAUACGUAUAAACUGACAU